Molecule: long non-coding RNA, 47279 nt
Filed under: Solanum tuberosum (potato)
Lineage: Eukaryota; Viridiplantae; Streptophyta; Magnoliopsida; Solanales; Solanaceae
Description: long non-coding RNA (STUB_LNC005463)
Source: RNAcentral
UUUUUUUUUUUUUUGAAAUGUUUGAUUCAAAAGAUUUUCAUAUUGGUUUCAACAAAAAAAAAACUAUAGCAAGGAACUCGUCCCUUAACAUAAAUGGAUCGAAACUUUUUGCGGCAUGUCCAUGCCUCAUUAAUUAAUCACUUUAAAUCUUUUGUCGUUAUCCACAAUUAUCAGUUAAUUAAAUUUGCUUUGGUAAGCAAUAUCAUUUAUCCCCUUUAUCAAGACCAAAUAAAAUUAAUUUUAAACUAUCCACUAUACAUUUCUUUUAGGUACAUAAUUAUUAUCCAAUAAAGUAGUUCAAAAAAUCUUAAACUAAUAACAUCAAACAUAUUAGUUCAGUGAAUAUAAAUUUUCCUAAUCAAAAUGAAGGGAAGCAAUGACACAAUCUUAUGAGAUAAAUAUCACAGACCAAACUAGAUGAACAAAACGCUUCCAAAUUUAAAUUAGGACAUCGAUUAUCACUUCCUGCGUAAAACGAAAUUCUUGUCACAUAUUAAGUAAUCAUUUUUCGAAUAAAGCAGAUGCAUUUUCACAUACUUGAAUUAGCACUUUGAUGUGAGACAAAAAUAAAAUCAACAUAAAACAAACAUAUGAUUCCAAGCCAUUGCCAACGCAAAAUCUUAAACUAAUAACUUGACGCCAGAGAACCAGAAUCAUGCCUGAUCCUCAGAGAUCAGUAGAGAACCUCACUAAAAAAAAAAGACCCAGACACUNNNNNNNNNNNNNNNNNNNNNNNNNNNNNNNNNNNNNNNNNNNNNNNNNNNNNNNNNNNNNNNNNNNNNNNNNNNNNNNNNNNNNNNNNNNNNNNNNNNNNNNNNNNNNNNNNNNNNNNNNNNNNNNNNNNNNNNNNNNNNNNNNNNNNNNNNNNNNNNNNNNNNNNNNNNNNNNNNNNNNNNNNNNNNNNNNNNNNNNNNNNNNNNNNNNNNNNNNNNNNNNNNNNNNNNNNNNNNNNNNNNNNNNNNNNNNNNNNNNNNNNNNNNNNNNNNNNNNNNNNNNNNNNNNNNNNNNNNNNNNNNNNNNNNNNNNNNNNNNNNNNNNNNNNNNNNNNNNNNNNNNNNNNNNNNNNNNNNNNNNNNNNNNNNNNNNNNNNNNNNNNNNNNNNNNNNNNNNNNNNNNNNNNNNNNNNNNNNNNNNNNNNNNNNNNNNNNNNNNNNNNNNNNNNNNNNNNNNNNNNNNNNNNNNNNNNNNNNNNNNNNNNNNNNNNNNNNNNNNNNNNNNNNNNNNNNNGAACAGAGAGCAGCUGGGUUUGGUACGAGAUUUCGUCCAAAAUCCCCGAAAAUUAGGACGAGGGAGAAAGCGCGGACGGUUUCGAUCAAACCCACCGCCUUUGCGCUCGACGUGGCGUCCAUCCACGCGAGUCAAAGGGCGAUUUUUGCGGCUGCAAGGACAGAAGAUUUCAGGCGGCUCUGCUCUGCUGUACGAGGCAGAAAAAGGGGAAGAAGACGUGAUCGUACGAGUGUGAACUCACCAUGUACUGCUUCGUCUCUUUGUGAACGUUGGUGCUGCUUUCCGUCAUCGCGUGAAGCGCGUACAGGCGUCGCUUGGAAUCGUUUGGCUGCUGUUAGUCGUGAAAUAGGAGCAAGGAAUUAAUGGGUUCCUUUUGCUGGUCGAAAUUGGGCCGGGUCUGGGAAUUACAAGGGUGGGAUUUGCUGGAAAUUAACAUGGGGUGGGCUGGGUCGGUUCAGGGAGGGAUUUGGGCUGAAAAUGGCCCAAUACUUGGUACUUUAAAGGUUUUAAAAAAAAAAGGUAAAAGGAGAUGGCUAAAAUUGUUAAUAAGGUAUAGCCACAUUGAAUUUAAUUUGCGACUUCGGCUAAAAUCUAAAUAAGAUAAAUUAUCUAAUUAGUUAACAAACUUCUUAAUUUUAACGACAUUAAUUAAUUUAACUAAAACAUAAUUAAAUUAGAUGCAAAUUAAUUAACUUGACAUUACAACUAUAACUUAGACCAAACUAAAAUUAAUAAAACAUUUAACUUGAAAAUGUGAGAUCUUUGGUGCUGAUUAUUAAAUAUUUAUAUAAAAAGAAAACCAAACUAAUAAUAUAUAAUCGUACAAAGCAAAUUUAUUAUUCAAAAGUUAUAAAAUUUACACGGCUAUAUAUAUAUAUAUUUAUUUUUUAAAACUUGAAGAUUGUAACUAUAAUCUAAGCUAAAGUGAAUUAAUAAGACAUUCCACUAAAAUGUAACGUCUUAGGAGGUGAUUUUUAUAAAAUAUACUAAUUAGGUAAAAACAUAUUUAAUAUCUAAAAUAUUGCGGAAAUGACUAAAAAUCAUCAAAACCUAUAAAACAAUUUAAAUUUUAUAAGACUAAUUAUUUCAAAUCGUUUGAAAUUAAGAAGUUCGAAAAUUAAAUAUGUCGUGGAGGGUAAAAAUUGGGUGUCAACAGACGGAAUCAGGUUGUUACACUCUCCUAAUAAGCCCACUGGCAUAUUGGUGAUGUCUUUAGGUUGAUAUUUAGUUUUUAUUCUGAUUAGGAGAAAUCAUUAUUCUUUAUUAGUUUAUUCUUUUCUUAUCAACUAUUAUGAUUAAGAGAAGAUAAUUAUUCUUUAUUAGUUGAUUCUUUCCUUGUUAGCGGGUUUGAUCAUGUAUAAAUAUAUAUUGAAAAAAUGGCCAAAUGACCCCCCAAUCUAUAACCGGAUUUCCAACUACACACUUAUACUUCACGGGGGUCCUAUUAUCCCCCUGAGCUAUUUUAAAAUGGAAUUAUUUCCUCCCUGAAAUGCCAUUGAAAUGCCAUUACCAGGCAUUUGUCUUGUGGUGAAAUACACGCACUUGACACGUGUAUUUCACCAUUUAAUGAUUUCUUUUUAAAAAAAAGUUCACCUCCUUCCUCUUUCUUUCUCUCCCAAUCAAUUCUUCAACCCUAACUAUACUAAACACCAUUUUUUACCUCAAUAAAUUUCUAUAUCUCUAACAUUUUAUAAAAACGAAAAUUCAACUCACUUUUUCAUUUACUCCGAAUUUCUAGAGUCUAGAAGAUAACGGUCCUAGUUAAUCAAAUCUUUCAUUCAACUAAUUCAACAAUUUUCCACAUUUUUUUACAUUUAGUUCGAUUUUCUUUCUUAGACAAUUUCAUAUACACAUUAAAUGGGUCAUGAACAUUCGAGAUCAAAUUCAUCCAUUGAAGAUUCCGCCGACAACUUAAAAUAAUUGUGAAUGAGAAGACCAAUUUGUAACACCAAUUUGAGAAACCUCUCUCUCUCUCUCUCUUCCCAUUCUUUAUUAUUUCUCCCUACUUAAAAUUUUCAUGAUUAAUUUAUAAUUUGAGUUUUUGAUUUUGAUUCUAAUGGAUUUUAGGAGAAUAUGUAGGAUCCUUCUUUUAAAAUGUAGAAGAAAUUGUUUUGUUUCGGUUUCUUUGUUUAAGUUUGAAAAUAUUCUUUAAAUAAACAAUUACUUCACUUUGAUUUUGUUACUCUUGAAUCCAUCACUUUAAAAAAUAAUAAUUAAUGGGUAAGUUUUUUUAAAAUAAAUUUAAUUUGUUAGAUAUGUUCUAAAUAAGUUUAUUAAAAGAUUAUUUAUUCAUUAAAUGCAUUUGUUGUUGAUAAUUUUUAUUCCAAACAUCCAUUGAAAAAGUUUCAACAAUGGUAAUGGUGAAAAAUGUUGUAUAGAUAAAUAAGAAGAAAGAAAGAGAAAGAAAAAAGAAAAUUAGAAAAAAAAAUGAAAAUUUAAAAAAAAUAGGCAACUCACUCUCUAUGCCAACUCAGCAAUUAAGGGGUUAUUUAUUCCAUUUUAAAGUAGUUCAGGGGGAUAAUAGGACUCCCACGGAGAAUAGGUGUGUAGUUGGAAAUCCGGUAAUAGGUUGGGGGGUCAUUUGACCAUUUUCUCAAUAUAUAUUCAUAUCAAUAAAGUGAAACAAUUGUUGUCUCCUAAAUUGAAGUUUUGAGUUAUUUCUUCAAAUUUUGACUAAAAACAAAAAUUUCAUAGCAGCAAACUUAAAUGUAAAAAAUACCUAUAAUGAUUGGGAUACUUAGGUGAAAUAUCAAUACACCUUUGAAUUACACUUAGUUGAGUGACCAUCUGAAAAUUUUCUCUUUGGAAAUUACAACAACAACAUCUCCGGUGAAAUCCCAUUACAUGGGGUCUAGGGAGGGUAGAAUGUACGCACGCACGCACACCUUACCAAUGCCUUGUGGAGGUAUGUAGAGACUAGAGAGUCUUUGGAAAUUAGAUGGGAAAGAUAUACUUGCAAUGUAUAUGCACUUGUCAAGAAUAGUAUGCAUGGUAGAACCAGAAGUUGAAAUAGUGGAGUAAUUAUUCUUAGUUUUUAGUGGGUAAUCUAAUUUGUAUUGGGGGGAAAGAAGUUUGUAUACAUGGUAGUAUUGGAAAUUAGGUUGUGGCAUAUAAGAUUGGGAAAAAGUAUCCAUAAUGAUUCCAUUGUCAAAUGGCCGGAUCGAAGAUUAGCCGGUUUCCUUGGCCUCGGCUCAUUACUACGAUUAUAGGGUGGUUGUUAUCAGAGAAAAAGGAGGGAACUCGUGGCCCAAAGUCAGUGAAGGACUCGUGUCCCAAAGGACACAUACAACUGAUAUGUCUGUCUGUAUGAGAUCCUGCAGGAAUAUUAGCUGGCACUAAAAAAUUGUGGAGUAUUUCUAUUGGACAUAGUAAUUUAGGGCACGAGUGGAGCCUUCUGAGCAACGUUGCCAAUUAUGCUAAAUAUGAAAGUGAACUUCAUCAUCUUCGUUUGUUCAGAGAUGAUGAGAGUACUUGUUUCAAGGGAAGAGUAUAGCAAAAAUAUGUGGAGGGUUGCCUCUCUUCAUUGUAUUAGUUGCUGGUGUUCGUUCUCAACUAAUAAAAGUAGAAUUGUGGAAGGAAAUAGAAGAAAGUCUAGGUUUGCUGAAUAUUGGUAGCUUGGAAGAGAGCAUGUCUAUAAUCGGAUUCAGUUGUAGGAAUUUACCGCACCAGCUGAAGCUCUAUUUUGGAGGACUUUUGAAGGGAAAGGAUAUUCAUGUCUCAAAAUUUUCUCUAGAAGAUGCUGCAGAAUGCCUCUUGGAAGAUCUUAUUAGUAGAAAUUUAGUGAUGGACGGAGAAGAGACCCAACGGAAAGCUUAAAACAUGUCACGUUCAUGAUCUGUUCAGAAUUUCCUUCUUCAGAUCAAUAGGUAUUAUUGUUUAUAUCAACGCUCAUUUUCAUUAUUUUCUCUUUAAACAGAUUCACCGGAGAGGAUACAUUUCCUGAAAUUUCUAUGGAAUACCGGUUGUUUGUUCAUACUUCUGAGGAUCAGAUUGAUCUGUGGCAGCCAUCUCGCUCAAGUGUUAUUCAAUGUGAUUGAUUCAGAUAACUUGUUUGACAGCCUCGUAACAUCUCUUUCAUCUUUGACAGCUUCAAACUUGUGAAAUACAAUUUCUAAUUCAUUUGAAGUAUUUUGCUGCUAAAACUAGUGGUAAGAGGAUCAGGGGGAGAGAUGAUAUUACCUUCUUCUACUCUAAAGAUGAUCAAAUUGAGGCAUUUACUUACUUGUGAAGAAUCGUGCUUUGCCUGAGAACACGGGUGAAUCACUUUCCAAUUCUCAAUUAGAUAAUUAGGAAACCUUUUUCACUCCACAUCUUUCUUACGGUGAAGAUACAGAGAUGAUAUUGAGAAAGAUGCCAAAAUUGAGAAAGCUGAAUUGCAUAUUUUCGGGGGCAUUUGGUUAUUCAGACAAAGUGAAGGGUAGGUGUGUUUGUUUUCCGAGAUUAGAGUUUCUAAGUCACUUCAAGCUUGUUUCCAACAGCUAUCCAGCUAAACUUCCACAUGUCUUCAGUUUUCCCUCAAAACUUAGGGAAUUGACUCUGUCAAAGUUUCAUCUGCCAUGGAGCCAAAUCUCGAGCAUUGGAGAUUCUAAAGGUACUUCUCAGAGCCUUUGAAGGGCAUGAAUGGGAAGUGAAAGAUUCAGAAUUCCCUGAACUCAAAUACUUAGAAUUAGACGACCUCAACAUUGCACAUUCGUCCGUCUCCGAGGAUGCUUGAACCUUUGGUUUUAACCAAAUGUAAGUGGCUUGAGAAAAUCCUAUCUAUCUCAUUUUGAUGACAUUGUAUCUCUAAAAAGCAUUGAAGUAAAUUAAACCGGUGCAGCUGGUAUGUUGCUAGUUCAGCCGGCCAGGAACUUCAAGCGAUUCAGUGUGAUGAAAUGACAAAUGAUAUGUUCAAAGUUACAAUACAGCCUCCUGAUUGGGAUAGAAAUUCAUCUCCUUGGCUCGUUAUCUGGUAUGUUCAUGUCAUAUUCAUCUGAGAACAUUAUUUCCACUCAUUCCAAUUACCUGCUCUUUAGUGAAAAGAAGGGGAAAAAAGUAGCAAUUUAUAUAUGUGCUAUAUCCUUGAAUCUUAAGUAUCCUUUCUUGCUCUGUAAUCCAUUUCUCAGUAAAUGUUUCAUUCAGGCUAGCAAACAGAAGAUGGAGGAGGAACUCAGCUAGUUGAAGGAUCUUCAGCAAUAAGACAUGUGUUUGAAUAAAUUUCAACUCUUAGUGAAACGUGUAAUGAAUUUAUGAGCAAGAGCUCAUGUCCUUUUUCUGAGCUUUGUGGAACUAUUAGAAAUGUGAAACUAUUGUUAAAAUAAAUUGCACUUAAAAAUUUAAACAUUCCUUUUAAACCAAGUGGGUGUUACUUAUCUUGAAAACUAGUCCUCUCGCAUGUGUGUUGUACGUGUAUGUCAAUUGUUUAUCUAGAUCAAUAUAACACCAAUUAUCCCAUGACUACCACUAGUGCAUUGACUUGAGCGAUGUUCUAUUCAACAAUUAAUGACUCAAACCAUUUUAGUCGCCAGAGAAAAAUAUGUUCAGCCAUCAUCCCAGUAGGAAAAGCUCAGUGAUCAAAAGAUUAUUAUGAAUCAAAAUGUGCUAUUUCAUUUGAGACGACUCUUCUGUAUCAAAAGAGUGGAUGUUAAAGAAAGAAGUCAGAACUAUUAAACUAAACCAAGAAUGUUUUAUCCAAUUUGGAGUUUCAUUUGCCAUCACAAUGUCGAUGGUUAUGAAACACAGAGAUAAACAACAAGGGAAAAGAAGACCUUAUUAAAAGUCCAUGCCUAGAAAUCAUCUUAUACCAAUAUUUACGCUGCAAUUGAAGGAAAAACUGUCAUAAGGCAGCGUAGUCUGGAUGGAUUCACUCGUAUAAUAUUAUAACAAGCAGGAAUUAAAAGCACAAACUCCUAUUCAUCAUUAACUUAUUUAAAAUAUCUGGCCCUAUGCAUUCAAAAAUACUACCAAGCAGGAAUUAAAAGCACAAACUCCUAAUCAUCAUUAACUUAUUUAAAAUAUCUGGCCCUAUGCCUUCAAAAAUACUACUAACUAUUUACACCAGAUCUCUCUCUGCAACAUGAAUUGCACUGAGUGCUUCAAUCACAGACAGUAUAAGCAACAGAAUCAAAAUUGAAGGAAGACAUAACAAGAUCCAUACUUUAACAAAAAAACUGAUAUUGCAAAACACUACAUCUAUCUGCUCCAGUACUGUGAUAAAGAAUUGGAAGAGGUUACUGCAAGUGAGGAAGAAGAGAAUGGACUAGGAGUACUUUCUUGUGCCAAUCCAUAAGAUGAGAAAGCCGGUCCGGCCUCACUCACUUGGCUUUUUUUUGCAGUAAUUACAUAUUAUUAUUUUCAAUUUGGGAGAUGCCCGAGGGAACCCCCUUAACUCCUCUGAGAUUUUCAAGUAUUGGCUUUCAUUAACACUUUCAUCUACUAAGAGGAUAGUCUUCAGGAGUAGAGGUGCAGAGCGAAGUAUAAACCUUACAAAGAGCAAUUCAGGUUUUAAGCCACGGAAUGCUGCUAUUUUCAAUUUUUGAAGCUUGUUGAAUUCUUGUGUACCAUAGGCUGGUCCUUUGAAAUGAUUUACAUCUUCUUCCAUGCCACCUUUAAUUUCCGAGCUCCACUAUAGGUAUUAUAAAAGUAAAAAUCAGUAACAUUUACAGCUCUUUACACAGAAUUAAGAAGAGUAAUAACUCGUGAACUCAAUAACUUACCACGUCCAAUUUAAGGUCCUUCACAUUGGGAGUACUUGUUAGAAUUCUUAGAAUGGAAGAUACUUGAUCCUCAUCAUCAAAAUCAAUAUAUGAACGAACAAACUUCACAUUGUCGAGGCGUGUGGGGAGCCUCUCUACUUCAGUACCAGAAGCAAAAGACUAGAGUAAAACAGUCAACCACAAAAGAGUAACAUUAAAUAUUACAAAUAUAUGCAACAAUCUUGGCUGUGGAAUGCAAAAAUAUAGAAAUUUUGCAGCUUACCUUGAGGUAGGAACUGUCCAUAUGAAUAUUACUAACUUGAGGGCAACAACUAAGAAGAUUGGUCAAGUUCAUAACUUUACUUUGAUGUUCUCUUGAUGCAAAUAUAAUUGUAGUCAGAUUCCGACAGUCCAAAAAAUUAUCCAAGUUAAGGGUAUUAGGGCCAAUAUUAUAGAAAUUCAAAUACCAAAGUUUUGGAGCAUAUAUUUUCAAGUGAUAAAGACCCUGGCAAGAUCGAAAAUGAAGCUUCAGAAGGUUUGGCAUCCACAAAAUAGAAGUUUCAUCAUGGCGUACGAGGACUAGAUUUAAUUUAAGGUAUUUGAGUUUGUGGAAACCCCUAAAGUUGCCUGGUAGCCUGCAAACGCAUUUGGACAGGUACAACCUUUCGAGUUCUAUAGCAUACAUGAAGGAAGGCAAUUUAUAAGGAACAUUCUUUGUAUUAUGAAGGGUGAGAUCCUUGACACCAUUUUUUGACAAGAAAAGCAUCCAUUCACUGAUAACUGAGUGCCGCAAAGAAGGCAGUGAAGAAAUAUUCAAAAAGAAUGUCUUAAUGGGUCCAUAGUGCUGCGACAGAAUUGUAUUAAUGAUGUCUAUUAAUGUGUUUAACGGCAUGCUCUGGCAAAACUGUGCAGAAAUUACAAGUUCAGGGAUUGAGGGCCAAACAUGUCUCCACACAGUAGACAAAACGCUCAUUCUUGCGGCAUCGUCAAUAAGCAAAUUCUGCUGAAUCUGGUGUUUUACAUUAAUCGGAAGAUCGCUAAGCCUAUCAACUCUGUCCCCUUCAACUUUAAGUCUCUUAAGCAUUGCCAUUCUGUGUUCUGAUAACUAAAAAAAGUCAGAAUAGUUUAGUUUCUUCAAAGUUUACCACAAUAAGAUUUAAUAUUUGUUGAAUUUUUUUUACCACAAUACGCAUCCAGAAUCAGAUUUACCCACAUUAAGCAUUAAAAAUUGCAUAUUUUUGGAUCUAAUAAAAAAGAUUACAGAUUUUUGGGCAAUUAUUUCGAUCUAAUAUCAGGAUAAGAAAACGAUAAUUAACAUAAUCAUAUUAUACCAUGAGAGUUCACAGCGAAGUUAAGAGAAGAGAAAAACCUAGGAUUAGAUGAAUGCUUGAGCAGUUGCGGUAGGAAUUUAAUUAGCAUAUUGAUUCUAAUUAGAGUUGUAUAUGAGCUGGUCCACUCUUAUUCGGGCUAAUUCGGACUUUGACCAGGUUGGGCUGACCCAUUUUUUUUUGUGGAUCAGAAAACAAUCCGCCCAAUUCAUAAGUACGUGGGCUACGGGCUGUGCGGACCAACCCACUUUUUAAAAAAAAAUAUUUUUUAUAUUUUUUAAAUUAAUUUAUAAUUCUAAUUAGAGUUGUAUAUGUCAAGGGUGAGAUCCGUGACACCAUUUGACAAGAAAAGCAUUCAUUCAAUCACGGGUGGACGCGUACAUUCCAACAAAUACCAGUUGUUAGUUCAUUCUUCUGAGGAUCAGAUUGAUCUGUGGCAGCCAUCUCACUCAAAUGUGGAGUGUUUUGUACAAGCCAAUAAGAAUACAACCUCUUGAUUGGGAUAAAAAUUCAUCUCAUUAACUCGUUAUCUGGUAUGUCAUAUUCAUCUAAGAACAUUAUUUCCACUCAUCCCUUGAAUCAAAGUUUCCUUUCUUGCUUUGUAAUCCAUUUUCUCAGUGAAUGUUCCAUUCAGGCUUGCAUACAGAAGAUGGAGGGGGACCUCAGCUAGUUGAAGGAUCAUCGGCAAUAAGCCAAGUGUUUGAAUAAAUUUCAAUUCUUAGUGAUUCGUGUGAAACUAGUAAUGCAUUUAUGAGCAAGAGCUAAUGUCCUUUUUCUGAACUUUGUGGAACUAUUGGAAAUGUGAAACUAUUGUUAUCCAUGUGCUGUCAAAUAAAUUGCACUUUACAAUUUAAACAUUCCUUUUAAACCAAGUGGGUGUUACUAAUCUUGAAAACUAGUCCUCUUGCAUGUGUGUUGUACGUGUAUGUAUGGGGACUUGUUUAUCUAGAUCAAGAUGAUAUAACACAACAAUUAGCCCAUGACUAAUCACCAAUCAGACUAGUGCAUUGACUUAAGUGAUGUUCUAUUCAACAAUUAAUGACUCAAACCAUUUUAGUCGCCACAGAAAAAUAUGUUCAGCCAUCAUCCCAGUAGGAAAAGUUCGGUGAUCAAAAGUAGUUGUUUGUUCAUUCUUUUGAGGAUCAGAUUGAGUUGUGGCAGCCAUCUCGCACAAAAGUUCGUUCUUUGUUAUUCAAUGUAAUUGAUUCAGAUAACUUAUUACGGUCGCGUAAUGUCUCCUACAUGUUUGACAGCUUCAAACUUGUUAAGGUGUUGGAUUUGGAAUCUGUAAAGGGGCCGAUCUUUGAACACAAAUAGUUCACUGAUGUAACCCGCUUUGGCAGCCAACAACCUUGUCGACUUCAACCUUCCAACACUUAGCCAAAUUUAGGACUGUUUUGGUGUUAACUCCAAAAAUAGGCAGCAACAUUUUUGAGACUAACUCUUGGACAUUUUAAGCAACAUAAAACAGUAGACGACAAUAUAAUUAAAGCCACGAAAAUAUAAAAUGAGACAAAGGCAACCAGCUUUACAGAAAACUUAAUUUCCAACUUGUAUUAAUAAAGUGAAUACAAGAACACUCUCAAAUCGUACCAACCUUGGCACUUUAAGAUCACCCUAGACCUUAACUUAGAUUUGACACUCUAAUUAGUAUUCCCUAAUACUUAGAACAAUCAAACCCGAAAUUACACCAUAGGCAGCCUGCACAUUUAUAAUACUGUGCAUCCAACUACCGACAAGUGGCGUAAUUAGAAUAAAACACUUGUUGGCCUUAGCCUGAUCCUUUCCUAUGUAGUUGACAACCCACAACUACUUGGUAUAUUCUACUAUAAGAUCACCCUAGACCUUAACUUAGAUUUGACACUCUAAUUAGUAUUCCCUAAUACUUAGAACAAUCAAACCCGAAAUUACACCAUAGGCAGCCUGCACAUUUAUAAUACUGUGCAUCCAACUACCGACAAGUGGCGUAAUUAGAAUAAAACACUUGUUGGCCUUAGCCUGAUCCUUUCCUAUGUAGUUGACAACCCACAACUACUUGGUAUAUUCAAAAUAAUUCAAACAAGGCGCCAAAACCAAGCUCUACACGAAAUGGGAUAAUGAUGCACUUUUUAGUAACCGCCGGUCAUGUGUUUGGCUUUGCUUGCCUUUUGGACGAGCUCUUCCCAUGUUUAACACUGUCAUACUUAGCCUUUUCAGCCUUGCAUUUUUCCCACUCAAUGCUGCCACACCAAGGUCACAAAUCUAUGGCAUUGCUUCAUCCCGCGUUGGCAUCAAAGCUCUUUCAUUGAUGCCUUAGUCUUGCUGGUCAUUUGCCCUAGUUCUUUCUUUGAAUAUCAACGCUAUGCCCACACAACAUUGUUAAGAUUUCAUCUUGUCAAGUCCUCACCAAGCUGCCUUGUCUUCAAAUCCUUGGUCCUCACUUGUUGCUUCGAAAUCAAGCCAUGGUGCCAUUGCACACACCUUAGCUUCGUCAACAGUCCGUCGUCAACUUAGCCUUGCAUGUUUGUUUCCUUGGCUUAUGCAAGGGACAAGGUUAACAUGCUUAAUACCUUGUCCAUGCUACCAUUUAAUUGAGUGACUUAGAUCAGGGGUCUAACAGAAUCCUUCAACAUUGGUGGUACUUUUCCUUGUGAAAUACAAUUUCUAAUUCAUUUGAAGAGUACUUCAACAUGUCUUUGAGGUGCCGUGCCCCGAGGCCGCCCCCGCCCUACCCCCGGCCUCGAGGCGAAGUUUCCCGAAGACCACCCUGGCCUCGAGCCCCCACCACGCUACCGACCUCGAUGCACAGUGCCUCGAGGCCCCCGCCCGCCCUCGGCCUCGAUGCUCUGUGCCCCGCCCCAGCCCCCGAGCCUCGAGGCACCGUGCCUCGAGGCCCGCCUCCCAUCCAUAAGGCGCCGUGACCCGAAGCUAGCCCCUCGGCCUUGAGGCGCCGCACCCUGACGCCCCUGGCCUCGAGGCGGCGUGCCCCGAGGCCUCCUGCCCUCGGCUUCGAGGCGUUGUGCCCACGUAAAUUUUCAUUUAGUUAAUCUAAGUAUUCAAAGUUAGAAUUAAUCAAAACAAAAAUAACUAAACACAAUCCAAUAAUCAAAUGGGAGAUAGAGAGAGAGAGAAAAUGAGUUUGGGCCUUUCCACUUGGAAUUGAGUUUUGUGUUCCAAGUCACCUUAUAGAAAUUCCUAAUCAAAAGGAAGUUUUGACUCUAUUAAUUUAUGGUCUACGAACUAGAAAAUUGAGUUAGGAAUUUUGUUGACCGAGGGGAAGGAAUUAGGCAUCCCCCGAAUCCCGUGGUUCUAUCACAGUCGCUUUAUGAUUGACAUAGUGAGUUUACCAUUUUACCUAUAUUACUUAUGAAAUUGAUGAAUUAAAAAUUUAAGAUUUUCAAAAAGUUCUAGCUUUUUCAAAGUAAUUAAUUGAGAGUAUAAUAGGUAAUUUUUUUGUUCUAUCUUGAUUUGUCAACAUGGACAAGUAAAAAAGAAAAAUUGAACAAGUAAUUAGGAACAAAACGAGUAUAUCAAAUCACGACUCUCGAUGAGUCAAAUCUUGAAAAUCGCAUAAUGGAUAUUAUUUUUAAUUUUCUCGUCUUUGAUCUCAAAAUAAUCAUUUUAUUUUUGCUUAAACUUUGUGCAGGUUUUUUUAAAAACUACCAUACUCAUUUUGCGAAUCUCGCAAUUUUCGACUGAUUAUUUGACUAAUGACUAUAACUUCUGCUAAUCAUGGUAUUUAUUCUGUUUUUUCAUCCAGUGCCCGCACUAUGUCAGAGAAUCUUUGUUUUCGACCUCUCUUUGCAACGCAAUUUAAGGGCUAAAACUUUCUCUCGACAUUUUUCUUUUAUUUAAAUCAUUGAUCUCAUAUAUAUAAGCGGGGGUCUGCAUUCACUAUAAAGCCUAAGCCCAUCCAUUUCUUUCAAGCUUGAUCCUUCCUUUAGACUCGUUACUUUGUUUGACUGAAUUCGUUGGUUCCGCAUUGAUUGUAAUCCGGUUUUAGAACCUUCUCUCAUAGAUUCCCUUCAUCAAGUCAUCGCCAAUAGUCAACUUAAACUAGAGAGAAACACAAUUAUACAUUGUCUGAAUUUACUGUAAAAAAUUGAGCAUCAACGAAAGGAAGAACAAAGAGAAAACUCAGCAGAAACAAAUUUGAUUCAAAAUGAAGAAACUCCACGAGCGCCCUAAAAAGAAAAAGAACAUAUAAUAAAAUUUGAAAGAUGAAAAAGUGAAGGCACGAAAGAGGAGCAACACUAACAUUAGCGCUAAAGAUCGAAAUAAUCGCAUCACAACAGUAUCAAUAAGAAAAGCUGCAUCAAAAAAGAAACUUCACUGUGAAAAUCUCAAAAAGUUUAAAAAAAAAUUACAAUUAACAUGGAGUGAGAUUUUGAUCAACUAGUAACAAAAUCAAGUGGUUAGUUCGAGAAAAAAUUCAAAAGGAGAGCGAAACUUGUUAAAAUGACGAAUACAACAAAUAUAUUUAAAACAUAUUGAAAAAGAAAACUAUAUCACUUAAAUUUAGACAAAAGAGAAAUGUCCAUAUAAACAUCUCUUGGAUGAAGUAUAGAAUAAUUAAAAAACCCUAUAUUACCAAAAAAAAAAAGAUAUAUAUAAGAGUAGUAAAUAUAUAACGUGCGGCAAAAACUUCAGGUUUCGGUAGAAACAAUAAAGCAAAGAUCAAUUUUUGUUGAAUUAUACUUCAAAGAAUGAAGCUUUCGAUGAAACGUUUGCUAACCAAAAUGAAAUCUGAAGCUUUUCAUCGACGCCCAAAACGGAGGAGACUGAGAAAGCGUACUGAAAUUUCAAGCAAAGAUUCAAUGGGGUGUUUGCCAGAAGAACUGAUCGAAGCAAUUCUUGUAAGGGUUCCAGUUAAAUACCUCUUACAGUUCAAAUGUGUUUCCAAAUAUUGGCUUAAUUUGAUUUCCAGUCCUGAAUUUGUGAAAACCCAUCUUAGUUUUUCUGCUAAGGAUUACACCCGCCAUAUAUCUCUGUUACAAUUGGAUACAUUAGAGACUAAUAUUAAAUCUUGCUCUGUUAGCUCUUUAUUUCAUAACUCUGUUACUGGGGCACUUGAUUUGGAUUGUCCCAUGAAAAAUUCACGUUAUGGUGUUCGUAUUAAGGGUUCUGUUAAUGGUUUGGUUUGUCUUGCCGAUGGGUUUGGUGGGUUGGUGCUAUGGAAUCCAUCAAUUAGAAAGUUCAAGAAAGUGUUCGGCUUUGUGCCUACACAGAUGCGUGAAUGCUGGUCCACUUGUGCUUUUGGAUAUGAUGACGUUCAUGACGAUUAUAAGGUAGUGGGUAUUUUUAGUAGCAUGAUUAAGGCCUUUUUCGAGGCCGCGAUAUAUAGUUUAAAGAGUGAUUCUUGGAGAACACUUGAAGAUUUUAAACCUGGGGUGAGUUACUGUGGUGAGGCUAAAUUUGUGAAUCAUAAGCUUCAUUGGAUAACAUUUCGUAGACGUCGUAUGCGCAUCACGUCUAUUGAUUUGGUUGAUGAGAAAUGGGGUAAGUUGGAGCUGCCCAGCUACAACAAAGGACGAGAUUUGAAGCUUGGAGUGUUGGGUAGUGAUCUUUCGUUCCUCUGUAAUAAUGAUGAGAGAACGCACUCUGAUGUGUGGGUAAUGAAGGAAUAUGGAGUUAAAGCGUCUUGGACAAAACUGUAUACCAUCAGGUAUCCUGAGAACUAUGAGCUUUCUCCGCCCCUUUUCACGUAUAAUAAAGGUGAAAUUCUGCUCGCGUUUAAAUCAACUUUAGCGAUAUACGAUCCAAAGAAUGACUCUAUCACAUAUCCAAAGGUUCUUAAUGUUGAGGUUACUGGUGUUUACAACAGAAAUAAGGCGGAACUCUGCAUCGAAAGCCUAGUUUGUCCGGAUUUACCAAACGAAGAUUGAAAGAUGUCAGAACUCAGGUGAAUGCCUGUUGUAAUAGUUAACAGCUUGUAAGUAUUCUUUCGCUGCAUUUUUCACGUGUUUUAAAAUCCUGCUUAUUUUGUCAAAUAUUGAACAAGAUGUUGCCUAUUCAAGGACCACUUUUACAUCAUAUCUACUUAGAUAUCUUGGUUGUCCAUUUUUUUUCUGCCAACACCCAAGGAACAACAACGUUUUGCAAGAACAUUUUUGUAUCUCGUGUUUGGUGGCUUCUGCGCUGCUAAGUAAGUGACAUUGGACGUUCUUUUAGUCUUCUAAGCAGUGUUUUAGGGGUACAUGUUGUGUCACUAGACUAAGUAAGAGCAAAGAGCACCAAGGCACAAGUGAAUAUGCCAAUAAUUAUUCGCAUAGUCCUUUGGCAGAAUCAAAGCCUAAACAUGAUUAAUGAUCGUUUUUUAGUGACACUUAUUAAGGAGAUAGAUGAAUUAUGGAGAUCAUUCAAUAACAGUUAAUUAGCUUCUUUUCUCUUUCUUUUUUCUCUUUUUUACCUAGGAAGAAAAUGUUGACUCUAAACAACAAUUCCGUAGACCAGAUAUGGAAAAAGAUGAAUACUUUAGACCUGAUAUUGGCUUCAAUUAAACAACAAUGUUUCUGAUCAGUCUGUUGUAUAAAACUUUACAAAAAUAUAUAUAUUGAAAAAAUGUCUUUCUUAACUUUUUCCUGUAUAGUAGACUAAAUUUAGAAUGUUGCUCAAAAUGUUCAAAAUAAAUACACCAGAUAUUCCUACUUAAAUUGAUUUAUUAAUUCUAAUCUUGGAAUGUUACUCAAAUAUUCAAAAUAAAUACUUCAUGUAUUCCUCCAAUAUUUAUAUGACUUCUACUCAACUGGUUAUCCCCCAAGGUGUUAAACACUUUAAGUCAUCCAGAUUGAAAUUAGGAGCUAAGAAGCAUUGCAGAAGAUGGAGCAGUUCUAUCCUAGCAGUAAGACUUAAACAUAAAACCCGCAACCCGCCCUGCCGCACAUCAUUUUAAUAAAAUUACCUCAACCUGCCCUGCAGCGCACAACUUUAAACCUGUCCGCAGGCUUAAACCUGCCCUGCCCCACCCCAUUUUAAAGUUAACAAAAACUGUCCUACUUUAGUAAGAAAUACUCAUUUUUCAAAAGUUUGAAUCAUUUUGGGUUGAGCAUAGGCCCUAGUUGUGCGGACUCUUCACUUUGAUGCCACACCCGUGUCGAAUAUACACUACUUUUGGCGAAUCCGACACACACUCAUUGACAUUUUUGAAGAGUCCAAGCAACUUAGGCAUAGGCACAGUUGGAAGUGUUGAUUUGCUGGGUCCAAGACACUCUCACUACAACAAAACCAACUUUUAGUGGCAAUAAAUAUUGACAUUAAUAAAGAGUGCUAAAGUCUUUACCGGCAUUAGUUAAGUGCCAUUAGAACCAAUGUCGCUAAAGGGACAUAUACAAAGAGUGUUAAUUGCCGCUAAAAAUACAUAUUUAGCGGCAAUUAAGAAUUAAUUGCCGCUAAUGAUCAUUUUUUAUGUAGUGUAUAAAGCUAACUUCUUUCUUUUCACUUUAUCUUUUUCCUCUUUAAAAAUAGGAAGAUCAAUUUCUUUUUCUUUCUCAACCUAUAUGCUAGUGAUUUAAAUUUUUCAAUUUCUGUAACCUUGGUUGCUUCCAUUUAUUCAACUGACUAUAAAACAUUGUUCACUUCUAUAUGUCGGCAGCAACGUUAUCUCUUCCCUCUCAAUUUUAAAUUCUAAUCUUUUUAAUCUUUCUCUCAAAUUAAAUCUCAAUUUGGUGUAAACCAAAAGCACACAACUCACAAGCAAACUGUAGAUUUACAUAGAAAUUUUUCUUGGUUAUGUCUCCAUAAGAAAUGAACAUUUUACUGGUUGAUGCGGGUUUUGAAACCUACCUAUAGGGGCUUAAACUGGUAUUUAGCUCUUAAAUUUUGCCUCGACAAUAAGAACAACAACUUAUACUUGUUGUUAGGCCCACAACCGAAUUCAUAUUCUACACCAUACUAGUACCCUUUGUUUCCCAUUCAACUACAUCUUCUCUGGUAGGCUCAAAGAAUUCUUAUGUAUCAUUUUAUCUGAAUUGGGUGCCUCUGAAAUGAUCAAUAGGUUAAGUUGCCUAUUUUUACAACGGUGAUUGAGGCCAAAUAUUUCAUCACAUGUGAAACAUAACAUUGGCUCUCUUUUUCGUGCAAAUUUUGAAUCAUACAACUUUUUGAAUUAUCCCUCGGAUUUUGCUACUGAAGUUGUGUUGAAGCUAGUCGACUUUGCUAUCGUCUGCGAUGGUGAAUCAGUGUUACGCCUUCUGCUCUAGUUCUUGAGUCACAUGUUUCAAGCUAAGUUGCUCGGACUCGGAUGCGGGUGUCCGAUACGGGUGCGGAUCUAAAAGUCAGAUCCUUCACGAUCUAAUUUUUAAGAUUCGGGGAUAUGGAUCCAUGUAUGGAUAUGGGGUGCGGAGAUUCGCCUAAAAAUAAUUAAAAUAUCUAAAAAUAGAGUUAUACAACUCAUAUUAUGAGAUAUUAUGUGGAAAACUUGAGGAGAAUCCUGGAAGCAGAUUAUAGGAAAAGGAGUGACAUAGAAAUUUCUAUAUAAAAGGUAUUCUAGUUCCUUCAAUUUCACCUUAGCUUUUGUAUUGAUUAUAGGAAUCAUUAAAAUUGUCCAGACUUUCUCCAUCGAUUUUGGUCAAAGUACCCAAAAUCCAUUGACCAAAUUGGACACGGAUCCCACACCCACACCCAUGUUGUGUCGACACGGGUGCGGCACCAAAAGUGAAUUAAUAUUCAACACCAUAAGAAGAACAACUUAUACCUGCCGAAGGAGCACAACUGAAUUAAUAUUCAACACCAUCAUAGUAUCCUCAGUUUCCCCUUCAACAUCUUCUCCGGUAGGCUCAAAGAAUUCUUCUAUAUCAUUUUCAUUUGUGUUGGGUGCCUCUAAAAUGAUCAAUAGGUUAAGUUGCCUAUUUUUACAACGGUGAUUGAGGCCAAAUAUUUCAUCACAUCUGAAACAUAACAUUGACUCUCUUUUUCGUGCAAAUUUUGAAUCAUACAACCUUUUGAAUUGUCCCUCGGAUUUUGCUAUUGAAGUUGUGUUGAAGCUAGUCGACUUUGCUGUUGUCUGCGAUGGUGAAUCAGUGUUUCGCCUUCUGCUCUAGUUCUUGAGUCACAUGUUUCAAGCUAAGUUGCUUGGACUCGGGUGCUGGUGUCCAAUACGGGUGCAGAUCUAAAGGUCUGAUCCUUCAUGAUCUAAUUUUCAAGAUUUGGGGAUAUGGAUCCAUGUAUGGAUACGGGUGCGGGGAUUCACCUAAAAAUAAUUAAAAUAUCUAAAAAUAGAGUUAUAAAACCCAUAUUAUGAGAUAUUAUGUGGAAAACAUGAGGAGAAUCCUGGAAGCAGAUUAUAGGAAAAGGAAUGACAUAGAAAUUUCUAUAUAAAAAGUAUUUCAUUUCCUUCAAUUUCACCUUAGCUUUUGUAUUGAUUAUAGGAAUCAUUAAAAUUGUCCAGACUUUCUCCAUCGAUUUUUGUCAAAGUACCCAAAAUCCGUUGACCAAAUGAUCUCACACCCACACCCAUGUCGUGUCGACACGGGUGCGGCACCAAAAGUGAAGAGUCCGAGCAACUUAGGUUUCAAGUAUGUUUGCGACUCGAGAAUAAUUGGGUCUGAAGCCAACUGAUUUAUUGCUUGAACUUCCUCUACUUGGUUCAAAUUUAAAACCCUGAACUUCUGCAAAACAGAAUUUUGAUCCUUCCCCUUUUAGCCAUCUCCAUUAUCUCCCUCAAUGUUUCAUCCCAUUCAAAAACACUCCAGAUAACUUUCCAUCAGACACCUCCUUCCUCCUUCAUAGAUGCCGACACCUUUCCAAAUUCUUCAUGAAAUGCGGUAACCUGCCAAUGAUUAUUUUUAAUGAUCAUUUUUAGUGACACUUAGCUUGUUGAGGAGAUAGAUGAAUUACAGAAAUCUUUGAUUAACAAUUAAUUAACUCCUGAUAUAUAAAGUUUGGAUGAUUUUCCUUGUUGCUCAUAGCUUUCUUUUAUUUCUUUAGUUAAUCAAAAGGCAGAAUCUUCUUUCACUUUAGUUAUGUCUUAGCUCAUAAAUUUUGUGUUCGUCAGUAAGAACAACUUAUACUCACAUAUUCUUGAUGAUUGCAGGUUGUUGUAGAAUCAUACACAUGUUCAGGAGAACAUAUAUACUUACUAGCUGAUGCUUUAGCAACUACUUAGGAGAAGCAGAUGCAAGCUUUUUCUUCAAUAGCCGGCCAAAUGACUACAGGAUCAUCGGUCUACUCUACCUCAAUUCACUAUUUCGAACCUUAUACAAAAGAUUUUUUCCGUACUAGGAAGUAAGAUUAUAUCGUUGCAGGUUGUAAAAACUCUAUGAUGCUACUUAAUUUUGUUGAAGGAUGCAAGAAACACUCAUGAAUUGAACAACAGAAAAUUAAACUUGUUAGUUGGAAUGUAAUCAUACUAGUUUAUGCUCUUGCUUUUUGUUUUCGUUUUUAAGAUUCUGCUUGAUGCACACAAUUAGAUGUUUGAUAACUUGUUCUACAAUAUCUACAGUUCAUGAUGUACGUCUCAAGUAAAUUACAUGUUAUUGUAGUUAAAAGUCAACAAAUUUGAACAUGUACUCAUCUACCGACAAACUUUUUAAUCUAAUUUUCGACCGCUAUACUUUUCUAUCUAAGGUCAUUUCCUCAGUCACGUCAAAUGGUCUACCGACUAACCUUUUACUCCUAUCUACCGACUAACCUUUUACUCCUAAUCUUUGAUCUCUAUACCUUUUUUCUAAGGUCAUGUCCUCAGUAACAUCUACUAACUAACCUUCUACUCUAAUACUUAUUCAUUCCGUUUUUCAUGUCCAACGAACUAAGAAGUGGAAAUCAAGUAUAAACAUCAAAAUACGAUAAUCAAAGUACAAAAAUACAAGUAUAAUUACAUAAGCUUAGCUGCAAUUGAGAUACACAAGUGCAGUCGCAUGGCUGCUCUCUACUGCGUUUUUGCUAAAACAAGAGACUAAAUAAAAAAAGUAUAAUAUUUGAUGACCAAUCUGCAGCAGCCAGCAGUGCAUCAGGAUGCCGGGAUUUCAUCUUCCUUUGUUGCACAAUCUGCAGCAUCGUCUUCCAUGCCAGUGGCUGCAGUGAAGCAACAAGAUGAGGUUGAGCAAAAAAUGAGUAUUAAAUAUGCUAUCUAGCUAUACUGUAGUAUGAUAAGCAAAAUGGAACCUUGUAAUAUAAUGUGAUAUUGUUCAAAAUAAGAAACAGAGAACAACAAAAGCUAUCAACUACACAUUCUGGUCAUUGUAUUGCUCAACUUCUCCCAUUCAUAAGCCAAACAUAGUUCAACAGCUCUUCUACUUCCCAGAACAAGAGCAAGUAGGAUCCAACAUUAGAGCAAAACUUGACAUUGGAGAAAGUAAAAUACACCUAUAUUAUCAUUAAAAACUAAUCAAUCAUAGGUAAAGGGCCCUUUAUAGAGACACAGGAAACUAAUUUGCCUAAACAAAAGUCGUUCAGACAGUUAGAGACAGAUUCAGAAUUUACCUAUCAAUGCGGGCCAAGUUUAGCAAGAUACGAUUGAAGUUCCACCGCAACUUAUUUAAUCUGGGUAAAAUGGGCCGAUUUCAUAAAUAUGGGCUGAAAUUGCCACCCCUAGUGAGGUUUGUCGAAAUUUUUCUUGAUUAUGUAUGGGAUUGCCCCCUUGUAUUUUUCACAAGCCUUCUUCAUAUUAACUGCAAAGCGGUGCAUUGGAGAGUAUGAAGGAUUUCUUCACCCAUGUUGAGGACGUAGCUUAUACUGCACUACAACUAUAUUUCCUAGCGGUGGCCAACUAUAUGGAGGAAGACAAAGAAGAGGAACGUACGCGUGUGUUAACAGAUGAGUUCUGUAAAUUGCUGGAAAAGAUAAAUCAUUUUAGUCUUGAUUUGAGGCAGAUUUAUAAGAGCCUCUUGUUAGCAUAAACGUCAUCAAGAUCAGAGACUACCAUGAAAUCUGGAUGUAUGCUUGAUUUUGUUAAUACUCUAUGUGAGGAUCUGAACGUGCAUCUAGGCCAUGGUCAAAUUUGGUGGCUUGAAAAAGGACUUCAGAAGCUUUCUAAAUUUCUACAGGACAUAGAAUUUACACGCGCACCACUCAAAGAAAUCAGUUUUCUUCAAUCUCUGGCCAUUGAUGCAAUAGUUUUUAUCUACUCCUUUGAUAAGGAUCUUCUUUCCCUGUUGCACCAGAAGUUUAAUCAUUUCUAUGCAGAAGGCGAGCUGAUAGAGCUACUUAACCAUGUCUGUGAUGCCACCAGAAUUGUUCCUCUGAAAGAUCUGACUGACUAUGCUCGGGGAGAGCUGAUAUUCUUGAGAACUUUUCUCAUGGAUUCAUUGCAGCAGUGCAAACAACAAACUAAGAUAACUUACUUUUUGACCCUUAUUCAAUCUGUGACUACCCAAGCCCAGUCAGACAUUAGGUCUCUUUGUUAACAUGGGAUACCUUGAGACCACGGAAAUUAGACCCUUGCAUUUUCACUUGGACAACCAUUUGUGCAUCAUCAACAUUGGACCAUUCUACCUCGAGUCACCACGCCUACACCCCGGGUGCGCACCUCGAGGUUCCGUGCCCCGAGCCCCACCCCCCAGACCUCGAGGNNNNNNNNNNNNNNNNNNNNNNNNNNNNNNNNNNNNNNNNNNNNNNNNNNNNNNNNNNNNNNNNNNNNNNNNNNNNNNNNNNNNNNNNNNNNNNNNNNNNNNNNNNNNNNNNNNNNNNNNNNNNNNNNNNNNNNNNNNNNNNNNNNNNNNNNNNNNNNNNNNNNNNNNNNNNNNNNNNNNNNNNNNNNNNNNNNNNNNNNNNNNNNNNNNNNNNNNNNNNNNNNNNNNNNNNNNNNNNNNNNNNNNNNNNNNNNNNNNNNNNNNNNNNNNNNNNNNNNNNNNNNNNNNNNNNNNNNNNNNNNNNNNNNNNNNNNNNNNNNNNNNNNNNNNNNNNNNNNNNNNNNNNNNNNNNNNNNNNNNNNNNNNNNNNNNNNNNNNNNNNNNNNNNNNNNNNNNNNNNNNNNNNNNNNNNNNNNNNNNNNNNNNNNNNNNNNNNNNNNNNNNNNNNNNNNNNNNNNNNNNNNNNNNNNNNNNNNNNNNNNNNNNNNNNNNNNNNNNNNNNNNNNNNNNNNNNNNNNNNNNNNNNNNNNNNNNNNNNNNNNNNNNNNNNNNNNNNNNNNNNNNNNNNNNNNNNNNNNNNNNNNNNNNNNNNNNNNNNNNNNNNNNNNNNNNNNNNNNNNNNNNNNNNNNNNNNNNNNNNNNNNNNNNNNNNNNNNNNNNNNNNNNNNNNNNNNNNNNNNNNNNNNNNNNNNNNNNNNNNNNNNNNNNNNNNNNNNNNNNNNNNNNNNNNNNNNNNNNNNNNNNNNNNNNNNNNNNNNNNNNNNNNNNNNNNNNNNNNNNNNNNNNNNNNNNNNNNNNNNNNNNNNNNNNNNNNNNNNNNNNNNNNNNNNNNNNNNNNNNNNNNNNNNNNNNNNNNNNNCCCCACCCUCGACCUUGAGGCCGGCCGCCCUCCCCACCCCAUGACCUUGAGGCCCCGUGCCCCGAUGUUGACAUCCCUUUGAGAGGGAGAAACUUCGCGGUGACUCAAAUUUAAAAGAGUUAAAAGAAUUUUUUUUAAAUGGAAAGGGGUAAAAGCGAGUCGCCACCUAAUUUUAGAAAAACUAGGAAACCAAUUAACAAAUCAACUUAAAAGAAAUGUCUAUGAAACCAAUAGAUUCUAGGUAAGGGGUUCAAGUUAUUCCGAAGGAAAGGUGUUAGUCAUCCUUUGAAAUCCACAAUUGUGGGUCCUGACUAAAAUCAUUUUUUUCAAACUGAGGAGGAUAUAAAAACAAAUAUACAAGUAUAAUAAACAUGUGAUAUACACAAAUAAUAACAUAAAACAAUAAUAUGAGGAUCGGCCUAAGUUUGCCUAACAUCGAUAUAUACGAAAUAAUGAAUAAAGAGUUUAAUUCAAACUUUAUUCGAAUAGCUUCAAUUGGAAGCAACUCUGUGCACCUUUAAAAACACUUAGUAAAAGUGUUAGUUAUAAAUAAACAUGAAUAAAAAUAAAUGAAUCAAAGAAUAAUUAAAAAAUAAAAAUCCAUCUUAUUAACGUGGGAGGCCUCUAAAACCGAUGGAGAUUUUUUCAUUGGCCAAUUUUAACAAACAAAAUAUAUGAACUUAAAUUAAAUUUCCGUCUUUUAACAUUGGGGAGGCCUCGAAAACCGACGGAGAGAUUUUUUUAUUGGCCAAUUUUAACAAACAAAAUAUAUGAACUUAAACUAAAUUUUUGUCUUUUAACAUUGGGGAGGCCUCGAAAACCGACGGAGAGAUUUUUCAUUGGCCAAUUUAAACAAACAAAAUAUAUGAACUUAAACUAAAUUUUUGUCUUUUAACAUUGGGGAGGCCUCAAAAACCGACGGAGAGAUUUUUUCAUUGGCCAGUUUUAAUUAUUGAGUGUGAUAAAAUAUAAAAGACUAAUGAAAGGGAAAAAUAUAUAGCACAAACCCAGUGAAACAACAUAACAUCAAAACUACUAUAGAUCACUAAAAAUAAGAAAUUCCUUUUAUCAAUUCUAUAAACACCCAAAAUAAUAUCUACUGUAUGAAGAAUAAAAGUAUAAACAACAAAAAUAAUAAUAAGAAAAAAUAAGAAAACAAAGCAGUAACAAGUGCUAACAAAAUCAAAUAGCAAAAUAGAAAGAACCACACCAAUGAAUAUAUUUCUGUAUAGAAUACUUUAGAACGAAUGGAGCAGGCAACAAUGUCAAGGAAAAAGUCAACAAUCAAGUAGUAAAAGGUAGAGCAACCAAAACAAUAAAUUAAAGUGAUUAUAAAAUCAAUCCAAAAACAGAAAAAUAAUACCUAAAUAAAGUAACAAAUAACAAUUGGUCCAAGUAUGAUAGAAAAUACCCAUAAGUGGAGCUUGCUGAUAACCUGGAGCUAUUUUCGAGUAGAUCUAGAAAUGGGAUUUAGCUCGUCGGAGCUUGGAACAUGUUGGCGGUGUUGUGGUGUUGUCUGUCACCGGAGUUGAUGCUCUGGUUCGGCGGGAUACCUGCUAAAUGGAGGAAAAAUCGUGAAAGGGGGAGAGGGAAGGGGCUGGUUUGUUUUUGUGUUGCUCUGCUUUAUCGGAGCUUUGAGCUCCUCGCCGGAGCUACUUGGUGCAGUGAACAAAAGGGAAAACGAGGAUGGGAUCUGAGUGAGCUGGGGUUUUGUGAGUAUGAAGCUUGCUGGAAAAGGGUUUUAGGUGGUCUUGAGGAUUGGCGAAGAGUGUGAAGAGUGAUUGAGUUAGUGGGGUUUGGGGUGAUGGUUGAUGGGGAAAAUGAGGUCGUUUCUGGUGGGUGUUUGGUCGUUUCCAAUGGUGUUUCGGCAAGGUUUCACCGAAAAAUGGAAAAGAGGGAGAUGGAAAUUGUUUUGUUGUUGUUAAAUGGUUGUUUCUGGUGGCUUGAUGUUGUUUUCAGGCGGUGGUUGGUGUGUUGCUUCGACGGAAUAAGUGAAAAAUUGAAGAAGGAUUCUGGUUUGAGUGUGGUCUUUGUUUGCUGGAGAAAAAUGGAAGAAAACAAAUGGGGUUUUGGUGGUGGACUCGCCGGAUUCCAGAGAACUCCGGUGUGCUUGUCACCGAAAAAAUAAUAAUAAUGAAUAGUUGAAAAAUAUCUGAAAAAUACCCCUAAAAUCUUAUCAACCACCCUCUAACCUAAUGAGCAAACUAUUCUUUAAAUACGAAAUUGAAAACUACCAAUAGUACAAUACCACUAUCUUAAAACCGUGGGCCAAAACCUCCGAUUACUAAAAUAUUUGUGUAUGAAAUAUCAUCUUUAUCAGAAUAAAUUUUUGUAUUGUGCAAAAUAUCAAAAUGAAUGCUAACAAAUGUAACAGAUAAAAUGAAUAUGAAAAAUGUAAUGAACGUUGUUUUAUUAAAAAUAAUAUUUGGACUGGUUUAAGAGUCGCCACUUAAUUUUUAAGAAAAAAUCAAGAAAACUGAUUUUCAAUAGAUUAAAAACAGAGAAUCAAUUGAAAAUCUUAAGGGGGGUUCGGGGUUCUUAUUAAUAUUCUAGGAAGGUUUUUUAAGGCACCUAGAAUAUCCGUUAAUGCAGUUAUCCGACAAUUAAUUUACUCGGCUAAAAUGAUUUAACUUUAACUUAAAUUGCAAAAUUGAGUUAUUUUGUAAUUAGAACUAUUUUAAAGGGGAAAAGGGGAAAUAUUUAAAUAUUAUCCAAGUGAACUAUCUUAUAAAAUUAUUUCUUUAAGUCUUUGUUAAAAGAUGACUGAUUUAGUUAAAUUGUUAAAUCGAAAUGGGUGUCUUUCGGGGAUUUGAAUUUUUCGACCUUAAGUUUAGCGGCAAAUAUUAACAAGCACACAAACACAAUAAAAUAAAGAGGGAAAGAAACUCGGGCCCAAAUUUGGUUUUCUGUCCGCCUGGACCAAUACUUGGGCCCAUUUUCGUUCUGGACCUUUGGCCCAUUUGAGUCACCUGUACCUGUCCUAAACUAACGUAAAGAAAUAUUUUCUUUGGGCCUUAGGCCCAAUUUUUCACCUGUCCUAAAUUCUAACAAAACAAUAAUAAGUAAAAUAACAAGGGCUUAGGCCCAAAAAAUAACAAAAUGCAACUAUUAUGAAUUAAGAGUGGGCCUUUGGUCCAAUCUUUUCAAUUUUCUCAAUCGAUUGCUCCUUUCAGCUUCAGGACCUGUUCGUCGACUUUUACGGCUGGUUGGUUGACUCGAUAAAGAUGGUUUGAGCCUUUAUGGCUCUCUUGAAAUGCGAGGGAAAUGAGUGAGUUCGCGGCGAACUCGGACAUAUUUCACAUGCAAAACGACAAAUAAAAUACAUAAGUACUAAAUCAUAAGAAGUAUCAAGCAAAAUGAUAAGUUAUGCGACAUUUAUAUACAACAGUGAAUUUGCAAUAAUUCAACAGCGAACAACAAUUUAUUUUUAAACAGAAUUACUAAGCCAAAGAAAGCAGAGAUUCAAGCAAAGAAGAAAAAAAAACAAUCACCCCUAUGCAGAUUUUGAUACUAAGGACAUUUAAAUCAAGCUUAUGAAGAUAAGAAAGGGGGUCUAGGAAACUAUUACAGUAAGCACAGAAGAUAAAAUGCUAACUAGACUUAAAAUUCCAUAGAUAACCCCUUAAACUUACUAGAGUAAGACCAUUCAAAGGGGACAUGUUCAUGCAGUUAGUCAUUGAACACAUCUUAGACAAAUGCUCACAGUCAAAAAAUCUAAGUUGGUCAAUACAUAAAUAAAACAUGAACCAAUGAUUAAGAUAGUAUCAUGUCAAAGUCACAAGCCAUAAAUAUAAGAGAACUGGAGUUGAUUUUUUACUUAGAAGCAGUAGGAGACACACUUAGCACAGAAAAUAAUCAAUUUCGAUAUAGGAAACUUUAAACAACUUGAAGAUUUUCGUUUAACACUCACAAAUACGGAACAACCAACUUACCUAACCCAUUAAAAGAAAAACAUUUGGACAUAAACUUAUAUAUAUAUAUAUAUAUAUAUAUAUAUAUAUAUAUGAGUAUAGAAAGAUUAGUUAGACCAAAAAUUUUAACAUUUUUUAUGAGAUACAGGGAAUAUAACAGCGACAUGGUUGAAAUCAAGUAAAUCCUCAAAAUUUGAGCAAGACAAAAACAACAAUUUGGUUAAAGAAAACAAACUAGCCGUAUUUUGUCAAGCAUGACAAGUAUCAUUAGCCAAGAUUUACAAUAAUAAAGAGAAAAUAACGGCAGACUACCGAAACCAUAACCUCUCUUCUUGUCACAUUCAUAUACGAAUAGUCGACAUUAAAAUAAAGUCGCAAUGAACAGAUGAGCUAUCGGCCAUAGGAUAUAACCAAGUUGAACAGAACUAAGCAAACUAGUGAGCAAACAAUUAAGAAAACUAAAUCCAAAAAGAACAAGAGUUUCUUCAAAGGAACAAACCAGGGGAACAUAGAUGAAGGUAGGAAUUACCUCUUAUUGUGCAGCGACUGGAAACAACAAGCAGGGCGACGACCUUCACCACGAGAACUCGAACAUAAACACCCUAACAGAGAUUUGGACAGAAACUUAAACCCAAAUACCGAAGCUAUUAUCUCUUCUCCUUACAAAGUGUAUUUAGUGUGUAUUGAAGUAUUUUUGCUCCAGCUCUCCUUCAUGUUUUUGCUCAAUAAAAUCCAACUAAAAAAUAUCCUUAAUUUAUUUUAUAUUUUUUUUCAACCCCCUCCCCCCUCCAAAUAGUGAAUGAGCAACUAUAUAUGGAAGGGAAAUUAGGGUAGAUUGAAUGGAGGGAAAACGAGUGAAAUUCGGACAGAAAACGCCUAAUUCAAAAAUCGAACUCCCAAAAUUCCUUUCACCAUUUAAGCUAGACACUCUUUUCCCUAAAAAUUCCACCCCAUUCCGAAAUAGGAAAUGGGGACCAGCCGCGUGCCUGCUGCGAGUGCCUUUUUGCUGCUGUUGCAACGAUUUUGGCUGGAUCUCGUUUGAUUUGCUGCAUUUUCUGGGUUGUACGCAGGAGGAAGAAAGCGUAGGGGUGGGUUGGUUGUUGUUGCUGUGCGUUGUAGCUGCUGAUGUGUUGGUGUGGGAUUAAAAGGGAAAAGGGGAUGGGUUAUUGGGCUGUCUUAAGUGUUGUUGGGAAGAUUGGAAUGGGCUGGAAGAUAGGUGGAGUUGGGCUGGAACAGUGGGGAAAAUGGGCUGGAACAGUGGGAAAAAUGGGCUGCUGGAAGUUUGCUAAAAAUGCAAAAUGCAAGUCCAAAAUUAGAUUGGUGGGAAUUAACUUAAGCCUUUGCCAUAUGAUUUAAAUCAUAGCCAAUCGGGGAUUAGAGAUGUAGCCAAAUUGAAUUAAUUUGGGAUAAGUUCGGCUAGCAAUUUAAAUAAGACAAACUAACAUAAUUAACUUACGAGCUCUUUAAUCUUAACGAAAUAAAAUAAUUAAUUUAAUUAUAAACUAAAUAAUUUAAAAAUAUGAACUAUUAUAUAACUAGACUACUUUUAAUAGAAUAUUUAAAAUAAAAUCUUUUCGAGAUGAUUUCCAAAUAUUUAUAAAAUAUAUUUAUUAUAUAUAUAAAAAAUUAUAUGAAAUAUAUAUUAUUUAUAAAUUAUGAAAAUCGACCAAAAUCACUUAAGAUGACUUUGCAAAGUAUUUGAAUUUUAUAAAACUAAUUAUUCUAAAUCGUUUGGAAAUUAAGAAGCUCGUGAAUUAAUUCCUAUCGGGGAGGGUCAAAAUUGGGUGUCAACAAACGUAACGAAUGACAUGUAAAAAAUGUAAUUUAACAGAAAUAAUCAUUUUUUUAAAAAAUAAACAAAUAUUUGUACGUAUUCAAUCGGUUGUGAAAAAAUAAUAUAAACAGAAUUAACCGAUAAAAAUCCUAAUACUUUAAGAAUAAGGAUAAUUAUCAACAAAUUGCAUUAAAAUGGCAAAACAUUUAUUUUGAACUAUUUAAAAAAUAAAAUAAUUAAAAAGUAUUAACUUUAGAAAUAUCAGACCAAAAUUUGGUAUCAACAACUUGCCCCUUUGUUUGAUUAGGAUCAAUGAAAGAGAUCCUGGUCAAACAAAGUUGAAGAACCCCAAUUUGAUUUGAUAAACUUUGAACAAAACAAAAUGAGACGUUAGUAGAGCUUUUGAGCAAGACUCUAUGUCCGUCUAAUGGGCUGAAAAUAAUAAACAAAAGGCAGAGAUUGAUUGUAAACUGAAAACAUUCACAUACCUUCGAUGUUACUUGCAAAAUUGCACAAUGAAGGUAGUGUACCUCUUUGAAAGAAGGAUGAUCUGAAUAACAUGUCACUUUGAACGAGGUGACAACUCAACGUGUCUCUUUGAAAGGCGGACGACCCAACUUGAACAUAACAUGUCACUUUGAACGAGGUGAUAACCCAACGUGUCUCUUUGAAAGGCGGAAGACCCAAUUUGAAUAAAACAUGUCACUUUGUACGAGGUGACAACCCAACGUGUCUCUUUGAAGAAGGACGACCAAUUUGAAUAUAACAUGUCACUUUGAACGAGGUGACAAUCCAACGUGUCUCUUUGAAAGGCGGACAACUCAACUUGAAUAUAACAUGUCACUUUAAACGAGAUGACAACCCAACGUGUCUAUUGAAAGGCGGACGACCCAACUUGAAUAUAAUAUGUCACUUUGAAUAAGGUGACAACCCAACGUGUCUCUUUGAAAGGCGGACGACCCAACUUGAAUAUAACAUGUCACUUUGAACGAGGUGAUAACCCAACGUGUCUCUUUAAAAGGCGGAUGACCCAUUUGAAUAUAACAUGUCACUUGAAUGGAGAUAACAACCCAACUUGAAUAUAACAUAUCACUUUGAAUGAAGUGACAACCCAACGUGUCUCUUUGAAAGGCGGACGACCCAUUUGAAUAUAACAUGUCACUUGAAUGGAGGUGACAACCAAACUUGAAUAUAACAUGUUACUUUGAACGAAUUGACAACCCAACAUGUCUCUUUGAAAGGCGGACGACCCAUUUGAAUAUAACAUGUCACUUGAAGGGAGGUGACAACCCAAAUAAAGCUCUAAAUGAGUCCUAAUCUCAGACUCAUCAACGACCCAAUUUGAAUAUAACAUGUCAUUUGAAGGGAGAUGACAAACCCAACUUGAAUAUAACAUGAAUGGUGUAUCACAAAAUCUGCAAUAACAAUGUUAGUAACAAAUGUAACAUAAAAGCAACAUAAACUAUGCAAACAUGGCCUCAUACGAACAAGACAUUAACCAAUGCAACAAUUCAAACUUAAUAACAUCAUGAAUAAAAAAAAUGUCAAUUAGAAAUGGAAUAACAAAAUAAAAAGUGUCAUAUUGAACGGCAUGACAACCCAAUUUAAAAAAGAGCAUAAUUUUGAAUGGCAUGAUAAACCCUUUUUUUUUAAUAAAUAAAUAAAAAUCUAAGAUAACAAAUCAACUUUAAAAUGUGUCAUUUUGAAAGGUAUGACUACCCAAAUUUAGAAAGAUGUCAUUUUGAAGGGUAUGACUACCAAAAUUUAAAAAGAUGUCAUUUUGAAAGAUAUGAUAACCCAAAAUAAAAAGAUGUCAUUUUGAAGGAUAUGACGAUCCAAAGAUAAAAAAGAUGUCAUUUGAAAAGUAUGACGAACCAAAGAUAAAAAGAUGUCAUUUUGAAAAGUAUGACAACCCAAAAAUACAAUUUUAACUAUGAAACGGUCCACAAAGUUACUUUGGACAAGUAUCAACAAUGAAACAGUCCACAAAGUUGGUUUGACAAAUAUCAACAAUGAAAUAGUCCACAGUUUUUGGACAAAUAUCAACAAAGAAAUGGUCCACAAAGUUGGUUGGACAAGUAUUGAAAAGUGGGUAUCAAUCCAUUUUUAUUUUCUGGACAAUGAAACACAUUUUAACUUGGUUAGCGCCAAUAAUAGUAUUGUACAAAAAUUUCUCCCAAUUCUUUCUCUUUCAACUGAGAUUGACUUCGAGGUAAUUCCUAUGGAUUCCAGUGGUACCUCAAAUGUACUUAAGUAAUGACAAGAUUUGUUCAUCUUGCUUCAAACAAAGGCUAUGAACUAGACCUAACAUCAUGUUUCAAGUGCCCUCACCACAAAGAAAGUCCCAUUUGCACACUUAUAAAGUGUAUUGAUUUGAUGACACUUAGCAAAAUCCACUCACACUCAAAAAAAUAUUCAACGCAUGCAAUUGUGAUACCAUAGGCUUGGCCUUCAUGUAAAUAUCCACUAAUGUGAGAACAUUUGAAAUGAAUCAUGUAGUGCUUGUUAAUGGCUUGUAAUGUAGGCUUAGGGACGGGUAGGAUAGUCAUUUGGGAUAAAAGUGACUUAUUUCCUUCUUGAUCAUUGCACUAAAUUGAUGCUUUCAACAUUUGUUACGCUUUUAGCGUUUGAUCCUUUUUGUUGUCCCUUUUUUUUUUUACUUUUUGACUUCUUUGAAAAUUUGCUUGUCUGAGUUUUUCCCCUUUUCAUCAUCUUCUGAACUUUAUCCUUUUGGUUUGGAGUGUUUUUUACUUUUUGACUUCUUUGAAAUUUUGCUUGCUUAAAAUAGUGGGGAAUUUUCAAUUCUUUCUUCUUUCUUUUGAAGUCAUUUUUGUAUUCUCGACUUUCAGGGAGUUUGAUAACUUUUGUCUUUGACAAAUUUUGAACUUUGGAUCUUCUUUGUAACUUGCACGACUUCAGUGCGCUCAAGAAAGUCAGGCCAAAAUAGGUAUAGUGCGUAUAAGCACUCAAAAGGAUAUAGGCUAAAAAAGUGGUUGUCCAAUGAAAAGGCUUAAGGCUCAAAGUGGGACAUACUAAGGAUUAAUGUCAUUUGGUAGGCUUUGAAAGGCACAAACGGGUAAAAAGAAGGCCUACAAUCAUUUUUAAAAUCAAACAUCACUCAGCAUUUCGCCUUAACAAACAUUUAGGUCAAGUUCUAGAUCAACAAAGCAAUACAAUUGAAUUUAAUCAAAAGCUCACCACACAAUGUACAUGAAAAAAUGAAUCUGGUUUUGUUCUAAUCUUGAAUGUAUGAAAGAUAAUAUUUUCUCGUAUAACAAAAAUAUGAAUGAGAGGUACCAAAAGAAUACAUGGCUUAACAAAAAGUCAAUACUCUCCAUUUCAACAAUUACUUUUCAUAUGCGCACUUGAACUGUGUUGGCACCAACUAAGUCAAAAAAUGAUUUCAAAAAUAUAAACAUUAAAAGAAUAAAAAAUAAAAAAACUUUUGAAUAAAGAAUACGGAACCCAAGAAGGGCUGCCUACGUAUUUCAUUGAUGAGAAUCAGGUUUGCGUAGUUCAUUCAGAUAUGACAUAAAAAAAUAUUUUUUGAAAGAAGAAUAAACAGAAUAAAGAACCAAUGAUCCACAUUGAAGGGUGGGCAACCAAAAUUUAACAAAAAAUACUUUUUUUAAUAAUUAAAGAAAACUUAACAAGAAUGAAGAAAUCAGUGAGUUACAUUGAAGGGCGGACCACCCAAAUUUAACAAAAAAAAUUAUUAUUAUUAAUAAUUAAAGAAAAAGUAACAAAAAUAUAAAAUUAAUGAGUCACAUUAAAGGGCGGACAACUCAACUUAAAAAAAUGUCAAACAAUUUUGUUUUAAUUUUUGAAAUGGAGUAAUUGAAAUGAAAAAAUGAAUGAGUCAUAUUGGAGGGAGGACAGUCCAAACUCUACAAAUGUCAAAUAAAUUUAUACGAACACAAGAUAAAUAAAAUCAAAGAUAUACAAUGAAUAUAACAUCACGUACAAAAUUUAAUGCAAAAGAUACAAACCAACUCGGAGUGAUGCCUCAUAAAUUUAGAGUCUGAGAACAACCUUGGUGAAAUUUUUAAGAGCAUUCGUUAAAAAUUUUGCCCAUGUUUCAACUUCAACAAUCUUCGGUAUUUAAUCUUGUAACAACUAUCUCCUUUGUAAAAAUUUUGGAGAUCACCUCAAAAAAAAAUUCCCCAGUUUUCGCCUUGAAAUAAUGGAAAGCUUACGAGGAACAUGAUCGAGCCCUUAUGGCGCCUAAAUACGUAUCCCAUUGAAGCAUGAAUCAGGUCAAAUCUAGUUCCAAAAAAUUGUAACUUAAAUGGAGAAUGAACUGAGAUUAUGAAUGUUCUAAAACUAGGUGACCAAGACUGGCUUUUGAAAGACCGAGAAUCCAAGCAGACAACUUAGACUGGAACUCACGACAAUCAUUUGACGCAUGACGAACCAAUAAAUUGCCGAUCAUUUCGAAAAAUGAUUGAGUAUAAAAAAGUCUGGUUGCGAUUAUGCAGAAACCGUUCUUUAAUAUACUACACAUAUAUUAGAAAAUGCUAUGAUUGCAACAACAAUGUACAACAAAUAAUGAGUACAUUAUUCAAAUAAUCAACAAAAUAUACAAGAUAUAAUGAAUAACACAAUAAAAGAAUAGUCUACUCAUUAUUUGAACAAUUGAACCCAUAAUAAUUAAAAUCUCUAUAUCCACAGCGGAGUCGCCAUUCUGUUGACAUCCCUUUGAAAGGGCGCAACUUUGCGAUAACUCAAAUUUAAAAUAGUUAAAAGAAUUUUUUUUUAAAAAAGGGAAAAGAGUAAAAGGGAAUCGCCAUCUAAUUUUAAGAAAACUAGAAAACCAAUUAACAAAUUAACUUAAAAUAAAUAUCUACGAAACCAAUAGAUUAUUGGUAAGGGUUCAAGUUAUUCCGAAAGGAAGGUAUUAGGCAUUCUUCGAAAUUCACAAUUGUGGGAACUAACUGAAAUCAUUUUUUCAAAUUGAAAAGGAUAUAAAAACAAAUAUACAAGUAUAAUAAACAUGUGAUAUACACAAAUAAUAACAUAAAACAAUAAUAUGAAAAUCGACCUAAGUUUGCCUAACAUCAAUAUAUACGAAAUAAUGAAUAAAGAGUUUAAUUCAAACUUUAUUCGAAUAACUUCAAUUGGAAGCAACUCUGUUUACCUUUAAAAACACUUAGUAAAAGUGUUAAUUAUAAAUAAACAUGAGCCUCUAAAAUCGACGGAGAAUUUUUCACUGGCCAAUUUUAACAAACAAAAUAUAUGAAGUUAAACUAAAUUUUCGUCUUUUAACAUUGGGGAGGCCUCGAAAACUGACAGAGAGAUUUUUUCAUUGGCCAAUUUUAAUAAACAAAAUAUAUGAACUUAAACUAAAUUUCUAUUUUUUAACAUUGGGGAGGCCUCGAAAAUCGGCGGAGAGAUUUUUCAUUGGCCAAUUUAAACAAACAAAAUAUAUGAACUUAAACUUAAUAUCCAUCUUUUAACAUUGGGGAGGCCUCAAAAAUCGACGGAGAGAUUUUUCAUUGGCCAAUUUAAACAAACAAAAUAUAUGAACUUAAACUUAAUUUCCAUCUUUUAACAUUGGGGAAGCCUCGAGAAUCGACUGAGAGAUUUUUUCAUUGGCCAAUUUUAAUUAUUGAGUGUGAUAAAAUAUAAAAGACUAGUGAAAGAAAAAAAUAGAUAGCACAAACCCAGUGAAACAACAUAACAUCAAAACUACUAUAGAUCACUAAAAAUAAGAAAUUCCUUUUAUCAAUUCUAUAAAUACCCAAAAUCAUAUCUACUGUAUUAAGAAUAAAAGUAUAAACAACAAAAAUAAUAAUUAGAAAAAAUAAGAAAACAAAGCAGUAACAAGUGCUAACAAAACCAAAUAGCAAAAUAGAAAGAACCACACCAAUGAAGAUAUUUCUGUAUAGAAUACUUUAGAACGAAUGGAGCAAGCAACAAUGUCAAGGAAAAAAUCAACAAUCAAGUAGUAAAAGGUAGAGCAACCAAAAUAAUAAAUUAAAGUGAUUAUAAAAAUCAAUCCAAAAAUAGAAAAAUAAUAUAUAAAUAAAGUAACAAAUAACAAUUGGUCUAAGUAUGAUAGAAAAUUCCCAUAAGCGGAGCUUGCUGAUAUCUUUGAGUUAUUUUCGAGUAUAUCUGGAAAUGGGAUUUAGCUCGUUGGAGCUUGGAACAUUUUGGCGGUGUUGUGGUGUUGUCUGUCACCGGAGUUUGAUGCUCUGGUUCGGUGGAAUACCUGCUAAAUGGAGGAAAAAUCGUGAAAGGGGGAGAGGGAAAAAGCUGGUUUGUUUUUGUGUUUCUCUGGUUCAUCGGAGCUUUGAGCUUCUCGCCGGAGCUACUUGGUGCAGCGAACAAAAGGGAAAACGGGGAUGGGAUCUGAUUGAGCUGGUGGUUUUGUGAGCUUGAAGCUUGCUGGAAAAGGGUUUUGGGUGGUCUUGAGGUUGGCGCGAAAAAGUGAAGAGUGAAUGAGUUAGUCAGGUUUGGGGUGAUGGUUGCUGAAAAAAAUGGGGUCGUUUCUGGUGGGUGUUUCGUCGUUUCCAGUGGCGUUCCGACGAGGUUUCGCCAAAAAAUGGAGAAGAGGGAGUUGGAGAUGGUUUUGCUGUUGUUAAAUGGUUGUUUCCGGUGGCUUGUUGCUGUUUUCAGGAGGUGGUUGGUUUGUUGCUUCGACGGAAAAAGUGAAAAAUUGGAGAAGGGUUCUAGUUUGAGUGUGGUCUUUGUUUGCUGGAGAAAAUGGAAGAAAACAAAUGGGGUUUUGGUUGUGGACUCGCCAGAUUUCGGUGGAACUCCGGUGAGCUUGUCACCGAAAUAAUAAUAAUAAUGAAUAGUUGAAAAAUAUCUAAAAAAUACACCUGAAAUCUUAUCCACCAACCUUUAACCUAAUGAGCAAAUUAUUCUUUAAAUAGGGAAUUAAAAACUACCAAUAGUACAAUACCACUAUCUUAAAACUGUGGGCCAAAUCUUCGGUUAAUAAAAUAUUUGUGUAUGAAAUAUCAUCUAUAUCAGAAUAAAUUUCUGGAUUGUGCAAAAUAUCAAAAUGAAUACUAACAAAUGUAACAGAUAAAAUGAAUAUGAAAAAUGUAAUGAACGUAACGAAUGACAUAUAAAAAUACAAUUUAACAGAAAUAAUGAUUAUUUAUAAAAAAAUGAACAAAUAUUUGAACGUAUUCAACCGGCGUGAAAAAAUAAUAUAAACAGAAUUAACUGAUAAAAAUCCUAAUACUUUAAGAAUAAGGAUAAUUAUCAACAAAUUGCAUUAAAAUGGCAAAACAUGUAUUUUGAACUAUUUAAAAAAUAAAAUACUUAAAAAGUAUUAACUUUAGAAAUAUCAGACCAAAAUUUGGUGUCAACACCCGAAGCCGCCCUCUCCACCCCCCAACCACGAGGCUCUAUGCCCCGAGACNNNNNNNNNNNNNNNNNNNNNNNNNNNNNNNNNNNNNNNNNNNNNNNNNNNNNNNNNNNNNNNNNNNNNNNNNNNNNNNNNNNNNNNNNNNNNNNNNNNNNNNNNNNNNNCCCGACCUCGAGGCUCCGUUCCCCGAGGCCCUCCCCCCCUAGACCUCAAGGCUCAUUGCCCCGAGGCCCCCUGACCUCGAGGCUCCGUACCCCGAGGCCUCCCCCCGACCUCGAAAACUAAAUUUUUAAAAGAUUAAAAAUAGAAAAUCUAAUGAAAAAGGGUUCGGGGUUCAUGUUAAUGUUUUAGGAAGGUUUUGGAAGCACCUAAAACAUCCGCUAACUUGCGGUUAUCUGGCAAAUUAAAAUAUUUGGCUAAUUGUUUAAAAGAGACAUGCUUAAUUAGAUUAGAAAUAAACAAACUUAAGACUUGAAAUCAUUUUGUAAGGGGAAGGAAAACAGAUAAGGUAUAUUUACUAAGUAAAACAUAUUAAAUAUUCUAAAGAGGGUUAAGUAGAAAAUAGAUAAUCUUAUUUAAUUUUAGAAAAAAUAUAACUAUUAACCCAAAAUGGUUACUUUGGGGAAUCAAACUAGGGGGAAAAAAACCUCAAAAUCAAAUAAACAAAUAAACAAGUAUCGACAAUUAAAUAAUAAGGAAGAGAAGGCUUGGGCCCAAGUCUGGUUUUUGCCCGCCUGGGCCGAUACUUGGGCCUAAAUUCAACUCUGGGUUUUUGGCCCAUUUGUACCUGUCCAAAAGAACUAAAGUUCCCAAAAUAUGUGGGCUUUUGGCCUAAUUCCCUGUCCUAAAAUCUAACAAGGUAAUAAUCAAGAUAAAUGGGCUUUUGGCCCAAUAAUUACAAAAAUACAAAUCUAAAAUUUGAAGGCUCUUUCAUCCCAUUUUCAAUGCAAUAUACAGCGUAUACGGCUGAUGUAUAUUGAGCGUAUCCAGCCCUUUAACUUGCUCCGAACACCUGCAUUUCGAUCUUUAGCUUUGUACCCAACCUUCGGGGACCUGCUCAUCAGCAUCAUUAACUUGGAAUUGGGCUGACUAGAUAAAGGCAAAUUUGGACCUCUAUGGCCCAAUCGGAAUGAAAAGAGGACGGUUAUGGAGUUUAAAGAACUCGCCCAAAAUCACAUGAAAAUAGAAAGAAAAGGAUUAGCCUCAAUUCAUAAAGAUGAAACUUUUAAAGAAUCUAAGUUAAUCACUAGAAAAAGCAAGACAGAACAAUACACACUUCAACAACAACUAUAAGCUAUAUAACACAAAUUCUUACUCCCAGAUUCAAGGGAUAAUUAAAAAUGUUCUGUGAUCAAUUAAAAAAAAUGUUAUUACUUAAAUGAUAAUUAUUUUCUUAAUAUAGUAAAUUGAUGUAGGUUUCACAUUAGUAAAUGAAAAAGUUCCAAAAUAAUUACUUGGAUUUUGAAAGAAGAAAAGAAGGAAAAUCUUUUAAACGUCAAAGAACCCAAAAGGUAACAAUAUAUUUUUACCUUUUUAAUCUAUUUUUUGAAAAAAUGUUACUUUUUAUAUUUGGUAAUAUUUCAUUCUACUAUAUUUAAGAUCAUACAUUCAAAAUAUAUUUGAUCCAUUACAUAUUAUCUUAUAUUAAAGUUUAAAAUUUUAAGAUUAAAAAAAUUCUUAAUACAAUUUUUGAAAAAAAAGUCAAAUAUUCUUUGGAUUAUGCAAAAUUAAAUAAAAAUAUCUUAAAUUAAUAAUACGAAAAAAUAUAUUUUAAUCCUUUAAUAAAUUAUGAAUAUUUUUGUUCAAUUUCAUGUAGUUCAAUCAAUGACAUUUAUUAGAUUUGGAGAUCCAAAUCAGGGAAGCACAUACAUGCUGAAGGGAAAGCUUCAUUUUCUUCUUCCAAUUUUCGACAUCCCAACAAGAAAUUGAAAUGCAGAAAGUCAAAGAUUUCUAUUAGAAAAAUGUCUUAUAUUAUUCUUUUUUAUGAAAUAUUAUUAUAAAUUUCGUCAUUAUUAAAUGACUAUCAAUUUGAUUUUUAAAACAAUUUAGUGUCAUUUAACUUGAAAUAUAGAAUUCAAAGUUUGAAAAGUAAAUAUUAAAUUUUAUAAAAUUUUCCAAAUUCUACUCGUAUAGCCUUAACUUUAUUUUUAUAUCCAAACCCAAUUCCAGCUUAGAAAUAUAAUUUUUGAACUUGAAUUUUAAAUAUUUUUUAAAAUUACAAUUGAAUUAUAUUAUAAUAUUUAUUAGGUGUUUAAUAAGACAUGCCUUUGGAUUAGGAGCCUAAAUGAAAAGUUUUGGUAAAUAUGAGGGGUCACUUUUGAAUUUAGCCUUCCAAAUAUUCAUAUUACCCUCUUCGUCAUUUUUUACUUGUCAAUAUUUGACUUGAUAUACUUGUAUAGUGAGUUUUCAUUUUAUCCCUAUUAAUUGAUAGAGUUUUAAACAUAUUUACUCACUAUAUUUUUCAAAGAUAUUAACUCAAUAUUAAUAAAUUGGGGUAUAAUAGGAAGAAAAAAAAAUCGUCUUCCUUGAUUUAUCAAAAAUGACAAGUAAAAAGAGAAAUCAAAUUAGUAAAUAUUUGACAAGUAAAUAGAGACAGAGGAGUAGUUAUUUAUGAAAUAAAAAUAGUUGUCUCAAAUUAUUUUCUUUUUAAAGUUUUGUUUGUUUGAUAUUACAGAAAUUAAUUUUGAUUUUUUUCUUUUAGGCCAUUAGUAACAAAAUUUAUCCUUAAUUUUUUCUUAUUACUUUUAACACGCUAAGGAAAAAGCGAUUGAUUUUAUUUUUUUACAAUAGUUGGCUCCAAUGAAAUUACAACGAGCCUAAUAUGCUAUUCUAUAACACUAAUCCCCCCAAAAUAAAGAACAAACUGAUACUUUUCCAUUUGUGUUUGCCUUUUUCUUUUUGUUAUAAUUGUUAACUUAUAUGGUUCAGAGAAUUGUCUUUAUCUCUACACAAAGUUAGAAACAUAGUUAUUUCAAAAUUAUAGUUUUUUGAGAAGCCUCAUAAAAUUCAACUUUAUUGUGUUGCUGUCGUAAAAUUUCAUUCUUCGUUCCUCUCCUCUUGAUCAAGUUACUUCGUCCUAUUUCUAUAUCAUUUGAAGAAAUGAGAUAUAAUAAUAUCAAGUUGAUUGGAAUAAAGUAAAACAUUCAAAAUUAAAGUUGGAACUAAAUUUGUACUUUAUUUUAUUGAAAGUAUAGAUUUGUUAAGGAUUUAAUUCAUACCUAAUCAAAUAAAGUAUAAAUUUAAUUUCAAUUUAAAUCCUAGAAUAUUUUGUCUUAUUCUGCGAAACAAACGAUCCUCAGUUUGCCCUUUCAAGACCAAAGCCCAAACCACUUUAAGAGGUCGUUGGGUUUGAUACGUGAGAUUACGAUAAUAAUUUUAAAAUAAUAUUUAUACUUAAUUUUUUCAUAUUUUGUUUAAAAUAUUAGUUUAUUUCGAGAUUAUUUCAUCUGAUCAUAUAUAUUAAAAUGAUGGUACUAUCUCACAUAAAAAAUAGAAAACUUAUAAUUCCAUAAAAUAUAUCCUUACUUAUUUCAUCGUACGUACCAAAUAUACCUUAUCAUACUUUGCCUUUUUUCCUGAACAUUUAUUUUCCUCCAAUUAAUUUCCUUUUGGCAAUGAUCGAAGUUCCUUAAAUAACCAUUUUUUGUGUAAAAUAAGAAAGUAUUGGUGGAUGCGUUUUACAUAACAUAAUGCAAAACAAUCAUUUAGUUAAAAGGGAAAAUCUCCAAAAUUCAAAUAUAUUUUAUAAUGAUUUAGUUUCAAAGUUUGAAAUUAAAUUUUAAAAACCUUCCAAAAUUUUACUCAUAUAAUUUUAAUUUUAUUUCAUACACAAUUUUAUCUUUAAUUACUAUUUUAAACUUGAAUAAUAAUUUCUUUUAAAAAAAUUAAUUUGAUUAUAAUAUUUGUUAUUGUAAUUGUUUGAUAUGACAUGCCCUUAAAUAAGAAACCUGUGAAAAGUUUUGGCAAAUACGUGGCGUUAGCCAUGAAAAUCAAAUACUUCUUUCGUCUUAUUUGAUGUGACACUUUUUUUCUUCAGUUUGUUUCAAAAAACAUAUAUCACUUUAUUAUAAGUCGAAACAAUUUAACUUUAUAAUUAUUUUGUCCUUAAUAAGAUACUUUACAACCAUACAAAUAUAAAUUAUUUUAGACUAUAUGUUUUAAAAGUCAAAUUUUUUUCUAAAAUACCGUACAAAGUCAAACAAUACCAUAUAAAAUAGAACGAGGGUGUAUCCUUCCUUUAAAGUUGUUGUUUGUCCAAUUUUUUUCCUUGAAGGUAAUUUUUUUUUAGAAGAUAUGAUUUUGUACCUUUAAUUUUUAAUUUUUUAUAAACUACUCCCUCUAUUGUUAAUUGAAUUUAUGAGGCAAUACAUACAUAUUAAGAAAACAUAUUUAAGUAAAAUCAUAAAAAUAUAAAUUUAUAAGUAGUAUAAUAUAUCUCCUAAAAAAUAUAAAACUUUAAUAAAUGAAAAGAUAAAUAUAAAAGAAUAUCAAACAUUCAUCUUGAAUUUUGAAGAAUUUAAUUAUUAUUUUGAACAAUAAAAAUAUCUUAAAAAUUCAGUAAUAUAUAAAAUAAAGAGAGUAAUAAAAUUGAUAACUUAACUAAUUUACCUAAAAUAUACAAAUCAAAUUAUAUCUUUAAAAAAAGCAAUAUCUCAAAAUAAAAUAGAUUAGAUAGUAUACGAACGAUUAUAUAGUAAAUAAAUCUAAUUCAAAGCCCCAUAAGUCAAAGAGAAUGUGUCGGUUAACUUAAAGAGAUCUUCAACACUCUUACUGAAACACUUCUUUCUACAAAAAAAAAUUACUUCUUUUGUCUUCUUUUUUUCGCCUUUUUCGAAAUUUCUCAAGAAUAUCCAUUGUAAUUGCCAAAAGAAUUUGUUCAUAUAUUGUACUAAAAAAUUGGUGUAUAGUAUAGAGAAAAUCAUUGUUUUUUUUUUGUUUUCAAUUGAUGGGGUUUUGAGAUUUAGAAUGGACUUGAAGAAACUUCCAUUUUCUGAUUCUUCUCCAAGAAGAAAGGUAGUUGUUUCUGGCUUUGGUUUGGGUGUUGCUGCAUCUUUCAUUUUUGUUUGUAUUCUAUUGUUGAAUUAUUCAUUCAAAUCUCCAUUUGUAACCCCUGUUUUUACUGGUUUUAGUUACAGUGAUAAUAAUAAUAGUAAUAGUACCCUCAUUUCUUGGCCUUUCUCUUUCUCUAAUGCUAGUGUUAGUUUGAGUUCCAAAGCUUCACACAAUGUGGAAAAUGGAAACUUUAGUGUUCAAGAAACCAAGAAAAUUGAUGAAAGUGGAAUAUUUUCCAAUUUGGAGGAAAAGGGGGAAAUUUUAGGAAAUACCCAUGUCCUCAAUUUCUCUGAAAAGGUAAAAAAUCGAAGCUUUCUUGUUCAAGAAUCAGGAAUUGUCAAGAAAACCCAUGGGUCAGAAAUUGAUGGGAAUGGAACUGUUUUGGGUAUCCAAGAUUCCACCAAGUAUAAUGUGACCUCAACUUAUAUUGAGGAUGUUGUGGGAUCAAGUGGUGGUGAUAGGAAAAAAGUUGCAGUGGGUGAGGGUAAAGGGGGUUUAUCUGUGGAGAAGAAUGGUGUGUUGUUUCAAAGUGAUGGAGAAUCAUUGAUUAGACGUGACAAGGAUUUUUAUGGGGAUUGUGAUGUAUAUGAUGGUGAAUGGGUUAGAGAUGACACGAAGCCAUAUUAUCCUCCGGGUUCUUGCCCUAUUAUCGAUAGAGAUUUUGAUUGUCACCUUAAUAAGAGGCCAGAUGAUGAGUAUAUCAAGUGGAGAUGGCAGCCAUAUGCAUGUGACAUACCGAGGUACGAGUACUAAAGCUCCUAGUCACAAUAUUUGAAAUUUGACUAUGAAUUACAAUUUAGUCUUUGGUAACACCCUCAAUGCAUAAAGUGAUAUUACAAUGUUGACUUUUGGAUUGAACUUAAAGAACAAAUGUUGUGGAACUACCUUGUAAGACAGAACAUAGAAAUCUAUAUUCCGAUGCUACUCCAAAAAGUACGAUAUAUUUUCUAAUCAGUUGAUCCAGUAUGUUGCAAUUGGUUGUAAGUUUCUUAGGGUGUUAGUUUUUGACUAUAUCUUGUGUGAAGUUUGAGUGCACACCUAUGAAAUGCAAGCAGAUGCCUUUGUAAAAUGCUGUAAUGCCAGUCGUUUUAAAUGUGUUUCUUUACUGACAUUAUUCGCAUUGCCAAUGAAUUUUUUUUUAUUUACAUAGUCUAUGUUGCAUAUUUAGUUUAUAUUGGUCAAUUUAACUGAUUUACAUCUCACACACUAGCCUCAAUGCAACUGAUUUUCUGGAGAGGUUGAGAGGGCAAAAGCUUGUUUUUGUGGGGGACUCAUUGAAUAGGAACAUGUGGGAGUCCCUUGUUUGCAUUCUUCGCCACAGUAUUCGAGACAAAAAGCGAGUUUAUGAGAUAUCAGGAAGGCAUGAAUUCAAAAAGAAGGGCUUCUAUGCAUUCAGAUUUGAGGCAAGCUAUUUAAUCUCUUUCUUCUGUGACCUGAGAAUUGCUAAUUUCCUUGUUAUUUAUCAUGCUGUGACUUGGUUGCAGGAUUAUAACUGUUCUGUGGAUUUUGUUAGUUCCCCGUUUCUUGUCAGACAAUCAACUUUUAAAGGGAAAAAUGGUUCUUUCGAGACGCUAAGAUUAGAUUUGAUGGACAAGACGACUUCAAUGUAUAGUGAUGCUGAUAUUGUAAUUUUCAACACUGGUCAUUGGUGGACUCAUGAGAAAACCUCCAGAGGGUUAGCACUUUACUUCUUUCACUAAAAGCUGGAUCUUGCAUGUCAUUGUUAGUUGAAAUUUAUAAACUUGUGCUCCUGGUUGAUUAUAGGGAAGACUACUACCAGGAAGGUAAUCAUGUGCAUGGAAGGCUCAAGGUUUUAGAGGCAUACAAGAGAGCGAUUUCCACUUGGGCAAGGUGGGUGGAUCAGAACUUUGGUGGAAGCAGAACUCAAGUUAUUUUUAGAGGAUAUUCGGUCACACACUUCAGGUACAAUUCUUUGUUACAUGUUAAUUUAGCUACAACUCUAAUGGGGAUAUCAUGAUUCAGGAACUCUUCUCGUGACUUACAUGUUGUGUUUCUUUGGUAUUGAGGGUUUUCUUAAGGAAUCUCUUAUUAGGAAGUGAGAAUGAAUAAGUUAAAUUGUAAUCCUUUUCCCCAAGUGCCAGGGGCUGUAUACUUCACUGGCAUUUGGGGCUUGGAUUGAUCGAUGUGUCUCAGUUAUGAGCUGCUGCCAUGUAUUCGGUGGCAGAUCCAGAAUUUUUACUAAGAGGAUUUAACAUCUACUAUAUAUAUGAAACAAAGUAAUUUUAGUAAUUUUGACUUUGUAUAUACAUUGUAAUUUUCCAACAAAGAGGGUUCGGAUGAAACCCUUGUGCGCUAUUAACUAUGUAUUUAGUCCUUCAUUGACGGUACAUGUGAACAUUAGGGUGGAACUAGGGAAGUUGCCAGGCUACUGGUCAGCACAAUAUUCGCCAUAUAUGAAGGACGAAAAUGCUGUGUAGCAUUUAACAGAACCACCUUAAGUUCGGAGGCUAAAGACUAGUAUCAAUGUGAACUUUAGCAAAGAACAGAAUUCCAUGCAAGCUAAGGAUCCAUAUAAGGCGAUACUAGCUAGUUCUCGUUGGGAUAAAUAUGUGGCUGUUUUAGAUUUUGUUCUUUGCACGGGUCUUUGUAGUUUGGGUAGUGAUUUGUAUGUAUAAGUGUGAGAUUUAAAGAACCUUUAGUCUUGGAUUAUCAUAUAAAUAGGAAAAUAUAGUAAUUUUACUGCUAAUUAGUUGUAGCAUUGUAGGUUAAUCAUUAGUUGAAUGUUCAGGUUAUCUAGUUCUAUGGCGUAAGACUGUAAAUUUGGAAGAUGUAACUGCAGUGACCAAUCUAUGGGAUCUCCCAAUCAUUUUCAGAUAUAACAUGGAUCGUAUACAACUAUGGUACAGCGUAGCUCCUACUUUAUGUUCAGACAUAAACUUAAUACACAAAACUCAUUUGAAUGACAGGCGUGCCUUUUGGGCGGAAUGAAAACCUCUGGGAAGGUUAUCUCUAAAAAUGAAUGUACUCCUGUUGUCUGGUAGGCUUGUUGUGUGGAUGUAUAAGGUAUAUGCUGUUUAGUGAGAUGGUCAAGUUGGUUGCUCACUGCAAACUUGCUGUCCUUUAAAUACAAUCUGUUAACCAAGUGUUCACGCAACCUGAUCAAUAUACAGAAGAGUAAUCACUUUAAUUAUCAACUAGUUGUGAUAUAUGUUGAUUCCUUCAAAAGUAGAUAAGCUAUCACAUUUUUUGGAAAUUCUUUUAUUUCAUUACAUGUACUCUGUGAUAGUGUUGUCUCGUAGAGAUACUAGCAAUGCUAUGGUUUAUGUUAAAAUAAUCUUGCGUUUUGAUCAUCCCUGUUAGUAAAUUUGUCUCUUGCUCCUUUGGGCGCUAUUGAGGAACGGCAAUCAAACUUAUCUUUUUAUGAAGGGGAGGUCCAUGGAACUCAGGCGGGCAGUGCCAUAAAGAAACCGAACCAAUAUUCAAGAAGGCUUAUUUGGCAAAAUACCCUUCAAAGAUGAAAGUCCUACAUCACGUCCUUCAUAACAUGACGACCCCUGUCAUUUAUAUGAACAUUAGUAGGCUUACAGACUACCGGAAAGAUGGUCACCCGUCGAUAUACAGAAAGGAGUACAAGACAGUAGAAAAACAAAUGGCUGGAGUACACUCUCAGGAUUGUAGUCAUUGGUGCCUACCAGGUGUACCGGACACUUGGAACGAGUUGUUAUAUGCAUCUCUCCUGAAAAGCAGAAAAGGCUCUUGGAAGAACUGAACUUGAACUAGACUUUUUCUUUUUGGUCAUUCUUUUGUGUUUUUUGGUACUUGUCAAUAUAAAAAAAAAUACGGUAGCGAUAUGGAGAUUCUUGUGUAUUAGAUCAGUCUUGGAGUUGGGUGGAAGUUGAUCUGUAAAAUUUGUACAACCUUUGCUAUUGAGGAAAGUAAAAAAAUGAUAAAGCUUCCUGAUUUUACAAUACCAUCUUUUCUGUGAUAUUGGACAAUAUGGAGUAUAGUGUGCUGCUAUUACAUUGAUGUGUUUAUAGGUCUCCAAAUGAAGUACUAAAUCCAGAGGUGUACGUAGAUUUUAUCCCUAUCUUGGUGGGGUGUAGAGAGGUUGUUUCUGAUAGAUCCUCGACUCUAGAAAAAUGUUUUCUAGAACACACUUGCUAGACCUUUUCCAAGUUUGAUCAUUGAGCAACUCCUGUUCCCUAAUUCCUACAUAUUUAUGUAGCUUUAGCAUAUCUUGUUCUUCAAAUUCUGAUUAACUCUGAACAGAUAUCUCAUUACCACUCUGUUUGGACGGUUGGUACAUACUAUUUCAUAAUUUGUAUUGUAGUCUGGUGUACUAUAUCGCAUCACUUUAAUGAAUACAAUAUUUGGAUAGAUUGUAUCGUUCUCUGUUGUUACAUAAUGCUGCGCUUCAACAAUUUGAAAUAUGAACCUACAAGAAAAAUAGGGUACAUGGUAGAGCUACUAUUAUAAAGUAGGGUAAUGAUAAAAUAAGAUUAUUAAACAAUAAGUAAGACAAAAUUAGAAGAGAGUAUUAAGGUAAUGACGCGAUCACACAAAUCGGUUGUUACACAAAAAUGAGACUUUUUUUCAUUAUCUAACGAUGAAUUUAAACGAUGCGAUACAAUACAAUAAAAUUUAAGUAACAAUCAAAACAUAAACACAAUAUAUAAACUAACAAUACAGCACAACAAGUAACAACGAGAAAAUGAUCAAAAUGGUCCUUGAUGUAUUGGGGUUGCUUUAUUUUGGCCCUCAAUAUAUUCUAGGUGAUUGAAAUAGUCCUUCAUGUAUGACAAAAUGUGUUCAAUUUAGUCUUUUACCCUAAACUUAACAUUUUACCCCCAAAACUGUUAAANNNNNNNNNNNNNNNNNNNNNNNNNNNNNNNNNNNNNNNNNNNNNNNNNNNNNNNNNNNNNNNNNNNNNNNNNNNNNNNNNNNNNNNNNNNNNNNNNNNNNNNNNNNNNNNNNNNNNNNNNNNNNNNNNNNNNNNNNNNNNNNNNNNNNNNNNNNNNNNNNNNNNNNNNNNNNNNNNNNNNNNNNNNNNNNNNNNNNNNNNNNNNNNNNNNNNNNNNNNNNNNNNNNNNNNNNNNNNNNNNNNNNNNNNNNNNNNNNNNNNNNNNNNNNNNNNNNNNNNNNNNNNNNNNNNNNNNNNNNNNNNNNNNNNNNNNNNNNNNNNNNNNNNNNNNNNNNNNNNNNNNNNNNNNNNNNNNNNNNNNNNNNNNNNNNNNNNNNNNNNNNNNNNNNNNNNNNNNNNNNNNNNNNNNNNNNNNNNNNNNNNNNNNNNNNNNNNNNNNNNNNNNNNNNNNNNNNNNNNNNNNNNNNNNNNNNNNNNNNNNNNNNNNNNNNNNNNNNNNNNNNNNNNNNNNNNNNNNNNNNNNNNNNNNNNNNNNNNNNNNNNNNNNNNNNNNNNNNNNNNNNNNNNNNNNNNNUCAUGUAUGACAAAAUGUGUUCAAUUUAGUCUUUUACCCUAAACUUAACAUUUUAUCCCCAAAAACUGUUAAAUAUAACGGUGGCGUCAUACAUGAAGGACUAUUUCAAUCACCUAGAAUAUAUUGAAGACCAAAAUAAAGCAAUACCAAUACAUCAAGGACCAUUUUGAUCAUUUUCUCAAGUAACAACCAUCCAAACAUGAUAUUCAAGUUAUGAUCAUACAAGUGGAUUUUAAUGUACACAUAUGAAUUGAGAUUUUAAAGUUUAUGAGUUUUUACAUCACUUUCAUAUUAAUAUAUAAUAACACUUGUAGUGGACUUACUAGGAAAAAGACAUCCCUAGGGUGCCUUUUCUUAAAGAAAAAAAUCACUAUAUUUUUAUCUCUACUAAAUUUAAAAUUUCAUUUCACGAUUCUCCUUUCAUUUCACUUCAUUAAUUACUAGACCACGUUCCGAGGGUGCACAAACACAAUAUAUAUUCCAACAUAGGACUAGAGAAGGAAUGUACAGCAAUCUUACCAAAAUCCAUUAGAAUCAAUUAGAACAUACACACUUGCAUGUGACACCUUACAAAUAAAACACAAAUAUUACACAAGAGUGGAUAAUAUAAUAAUAUAUUUAUAGGGUACAACAUUAAGUUGAAAGCCAAGAAAGACUCCAAAACGGAGUCCAUAAUUGCCGUUUUGUGACUUGCCGGUUUGCCAUCCUUUUGCCAACAUCCUUUGCUAUUUUUAUCAUCAUAUAUCCACACAGAAUUUGGCUCAAGUAUGAGCAAACUUGAAAUUGUAUAUGGAGCAGUUAUGUUGCUCAGACUCUCCAAAAAUGUUGUCAAUAUCGCAUUGAUUUUGAAGAAUCCAACAUGCAUCUAUCGACAUUUUUGAACAAAUCCGAGCAACAUAAUAGAGGAGGGCAUUUAAAAGUCCUCCUUCACUCCAACUUGCCUAUCUUUUCUUAAGACCCAUGGAUUGCUUCAUCCCACUGCAUUUUUUUUCUCACUUAAUAAUCUAUAAGUUUCAAGAAGGGUACUCUUGAAACUAAAUAGCGUUAUUUGCUUUAAUUCUAUCCAAUAGGCUGUUGAGACAAAGCUAGUGGUAAGUUAGCCAAUAGAUUGUGGCCUUAAAUAGAAGAACUCAACAAAUCAUUACAUCAUAAACCACUACUAUAUAUUACGCUUUACCUUUUUCUUUUUCAUUAUUGCACCCCACACAAAUCUCUUUAGAUUUCACCAUGAAGUGUUAGUGGUUCACAAAAG